GGAAAUAAUAAUUAUUUUGGUGUUUGGGGAGUUAAUUAGAAUUUAUUAAAAUUAAUGGGGGUUUAGUGAAAAUGAAGGGAGUUAAGUAAGAGGGAAGUUAGGAAAAUAGAUGUCAGAAGCUUGUACGUGAAAAACUGUCAGUUGGGAGAAAAGGAGAGAAGAGCAAGUAGAGUCAGGAUAACCUUUUGCUGCACUUUUUUUCUGCAAUUUCUAAGGUAAUGGUGAGGUUUGCUCCAGUAGUAUAGCUAUUAAAUUCUGAUUUUGUGUUUAACAGAGUUUUGGUGAGAAUUGGGGAAUUUGGGUUUUUGUGAUUAAAUGAUGAUUUUGGGGUUGAGAUUGUGAUUCUGAUGUUAGAAAUAGGUUCUGAGUGCAUACAGUAAGUUAACUCUCAUCUGUAAACCAAUUUGGGGAGUGAAUUGAAGAAAAAUGGGAUUUUGGGGAAAAACCUGUUUUCUGCCCGUACAGAAGUUCAUCGCUCGCCUCGCGAGUGAGCAACUUCAUGGCUCGCCUCGCGAGCAGACCAACUCGCCAUGGCGAGCAAGCCAGUUCAAAACUUGAUUUUUCAAUUGUUGUUAUAAGAUGUUUUGGGGAUGGUUUAAUGUACCUAAAUGAUUUUAAUGAUGACUGGAGCAAGUUUUAGGUUAAAAAGAUGUAUAGGGAGCUUAGAAUUGAGGUUUGAGUGAGAAAAUGUCAAAAUUCCCGAGAGCACCUAUUUUUCACUCGCCUCGAGUUCGCCUUGAACUCGCCAUGGCGAGUACCUUGUUUUGUGAACUCGCCAUAGCGAGCAGAUGUGCUCGCGAGGCGAGCUACCCAGUUUUUGAGUGUUGAAUUUGCUUGCAUGAAUGGUCGUGAUUGAUGUUGUUGUUUUGAGCAUAGUUAUAUUUGAUUGUGCAUUAUUCUGGAUUGUUGAAUCUCUAAUUGAUGUUGUUGCUGAUGACUGUGAUGUAUGCUAAAAUUAUUGAAUCAUACAUGUUGAUUAAGUGGAGUCAUAUGGAGUAUGUAUGCAUGGUCAAGUUGUAUGUAGAUAUACACAAGUAGGUCCAUUGCAUAUGCAUAAACAGCGGAGAGGACUCAUGUCCUGGAGCACUAGUUGUUCAUAGCGGUGAGGGCUUCGGUCCUGAUGAAUGCUUUAACCAUUCAAAAGCGGUGAGGGCUUCGGUCCUGUCUGGUACCACAUGCAUAAUUGCAUAUUGAGGAGUCUUAGUGGUGUCGUCAUGUCAUGCAUGACUCUUUAUUGUUGGUUGUAGUUGUUAUAUUGAUGAUGAUGAUGAUGAUGUUGUUGAUGAGUAUACAUCAUACACAUAUUAUGAUGGAUUGAAUUGAUGGUGAUACAGUUGUUGCUUGUGAAUUAUGUAUUUAUAAUUGCAAGAUGAUUUGAUGUUUUAGGGUGUUAGAUUCAAUUGAUGAUUUUAAUAUCUAUAUUUUAUUGUUGUGAAUCUCACCCCUUCUGCUUGAAAAUGUUGCCCUUCCUAUGGGUAACUUGCAGGUGAUCCUGAGUAGUCGGUGGUGGCUCAAGAGUCGUGUCUAGGGCUCUGAUACGUGGGAUAAGAAUUAUUAUAUAUUUUUUUUCUUGUUGAUUUUCCUUCCUAUGUAUCAACUUUUGGAACUUGAUGGUGUGGCCCUUUGUUGGUUGUUUAGGCUUAAUGCCAAGAUAUUAUUAUGGAGAAUUUAACUGUUGUUGUUGUUAUUUGAAACGCAAACAUUCCGCUGCAUCAUUUUUGAAGUUAUGAAAGAUGUUGAAUUAAAUAGUUUUAUUUUCUAUUUAAGAAUUUUUGAAACGUAGUGUAGCAUGCCCGUAUGUGGAACUACUCUGAUGUUGAAUUAUUUGUUAUUUAAAUGAUUUUGGGUAACGGGGUGUUACAAACAACGAGGUAUCACAUAUAACAUAAUCCAAAAUAGUUAAAUAAUAAUUUAACCAAAUAUCUUAAACAUUGCAGCGGAAAUUAUAUCAUAAUCAUAAAACGUUUUGGCACGCAGGCCCCAUCAAAAUAAUCUCAAAAGAUUUAGUUCAAUAUCACAAAUAGCAUAUUAUUCACGUAAUAGAACAAAGCAUGCAUAACAUAUAGCCCCAUCCCGUUACGUAUCAGAGCGACCUAGACGACACAGUGAAGGCAAGGCCACUCACGACGGUAACUACACACUAAGCACGAUCCACCUGCAAGUUACCCAUACGAAGGGCAACAUUUUCAAGCAGAAGGGGUGAGAUUUCAUAACAAAAUAAUAUUAAUCAAUGUAAUUCGAAUCAUAAAUUAACAUUAACAUCUUAUUCUAUCUUAAACAACUUUGCAUAUUUGAUAAACAAUUAUCACGUAAUCAUAUAUUCAAUCAUCAUCAACAACAUAGCAUCUUAGACACGACAAUGCUCUUAGACUCCUUAUAUGCAUGUGGUACCAAUCGUCAUCAUAAGUAUUAAUAUACUUUAAACGUGCGGAGGACAAAGCUCCUAAUAAAUCAUGCGGAGGACAAAACUCCUGAUAAUCGUGGUGAGGACUAAGCUCAAUGAAUGCUAAUGCAUGGACUCUUAUCAACAAUUCACCGUAAUCAUCAUAUCAAUAUGCAUCCAAUAAUUUGGAGCUAAACGUCAUCUUAUUUAUCAUAUAUAGACAUUAUGCACUUAGUUAAAUAACAGCAGCAGCAUAGUCAAGUCACACAACAACAGGAUGAUAUCAUUAUAUCAAUUGCAAUUCAAUAUCAUCAUAAUAUUUCAUUCAUAUCUUACAUAAUGUAUAAUACAUUAAUUCAUGCUCAAUUAAUAUCAACAUAUCUUAAACGGCUUUACAGAUUGCAUUAAACGUCAUCAUUAGGUCUCAUUACCAUAAAGGGAUUCACUCUUGAUCAAAACGUGCGACACAGAUCGCACAAACACUCAAUGCACUCCAAUCUGGAAGUGCUCGCGAGGCGAGGGUUCCUACUCGCCAUGGCGAGUACCAGACAGAACAAAACUAAAGUUGUUAUGGGUUUAAUCUUGUCCUACAUUCAUCCCUAAUCAUUACUAGGUAUGUUCAGGCACUCAAAGGCACUUAAGGUCCAACUAAAAAGUCGAAGUUACAAAAUCUAACAUGCUCUCUGCCUUAGCUCGCUAUGGCGAGUAAGGUUGCUUGUUGUGGCGAGUGAUGAGUCAUUUAUUAUCUAUUUUAAUAUGUUAUUUAGUUUAGUUUUAUUUAGAUUUAAGUUUAUUUUAUAUUAAUAUUAUUUCCUUUCUUGAACUAUUUUACUACAAUUGCAUUUAAUUAUAUUUCAGGAACGAAUAUUGGAUGGAUUGAGUCUUGGAGCAAAAGAAAGGGAUUUGGAGCUGAUUCGGUACAAAAAUAUGAAGAUUCGGAGACAAAAAUAUGUCUCGUAGAAUAUACUUGGAAUAUUCUCCAGAACACCUUUUGCUGCUUUUGCUUGGACUCCAAGCUAUUCUAUUUUGGCGCACAAUCUACCGAGGAAUAUACUUGCUUAGAUUUUAAGUCAAUUGUGUACUAUAAAUAGAGUAGCUAGCCAUCACAAAUAAUCAUCUUUUCUUGGAAUGCAAUAUGUGACAAUUGUCUUUCUAAUAAAAGUUCAUUUUACUUUCUUUGCUAUUUACUUUUAUGUUUUCUCUCUUCUUCUCCUUGUCUACAAUGAACGUCAGUGAGUAGACUUCUCUUGUCUUGGGAUUGUUGGAUAAGUCUAAUGACAUAACCCUAAUCAAACCAAGCUUUAAACCUUAAUCUUAUGUAACCCUAAUUCCUUAUCUAAAUUCACCGCUUUAACAUGGAUCAACCAUUAUCAAACUGUGGAAACGAAAGUGGAGGGUUUGAUAAUUGUUUAUGAAGUAGAUAAAAUAGUCACAAGGAAGGGGGGGUUUGAAUUGUGACCCUUUAAAAAUUAUCCUGAAACUUAAAAAUGAUUCUCAAGUUGUUUACUUGGAAUUAUGUUAACUUUCUGACUUCAGAAUGUUCUGAAGUUCAUAAACAAAAUUGUUUAAUAAGGUAUAAGUGUAAGUGUGUGUUGUGUAUACUGUAAAUAAGAGAGUAUAGAGAAGAAGGAAAGAACACACAAAGAGUUAUAGUGGUUCACCCAAUGUGGGCUAGUCCACUCCCCACAAUCCUGUGAGAGUUUCCACUAAGAUGCUUGAGAUAACCUCUCAAGUCCUGCACCUUACAAUCUUGUUCACCUGAACAAUUACAAUCCUGUAUUCUCUAAGCCUCAGCAGGCUUGCACCUUCUUGCUAAGUUAACCACUUAGACUUUUACAACCUUUGCUCAACCUAACACUUUAGGACCUCUAAAAGCUAGAUGAGACUUUGUUACAAUUUGUAUGGAAGUUGGGUGUUUGUGAAGCAAACAGUGGAGGAAGAAGAAAAGGUUAUCUUACAGAUAACAAGAGUAUUGAUUUGCACUAAGUUUAUAAAAGACUUAGAGAUUGAUCAAUUUCAGUUUGCAAAAGCUUCAAACAAAAUCAGAGUUGUUUUCUUGUAUGCUUUGCAAUGGUGCAAGUUUUGCUAAUGCCUUGAUCUCUAUUUAUAGAGUCUUUGGGCUCAUAUAGCCGUUGUAGGAUGUCCAAUGGUGUUAUGCCAUGUGUCCUGGGUCCCACAAGCUUUAACUUGAAAUUCUGGGCAAACAUUCUGAUCUCUGAUGAACAUCAGAAUGUUGCUGUGUUCCCAGGAUGAACAUCAGAAUGUUGUUGUGUUCAUGAUGAUCUUCAUCUGGGUUCAUCAUGUUCUUCAUCUGGGUUCAUCAUGUAUGAAUGAACACAUGAAUUUCUGGGCGGGCAUAUGCUUUUCAUAUGAAUUUCUGGACAAUAACCAAUGCAUGAACUUUUCUUCAUACAUCAGAAUGUUCCUUUCCCAGAUUUGUCUUGGAACCGGUGCAGGAGGAUUUAGUGGGAUUCUGCAUCUUCAUGCCCAUGCUUUGAGAGAUUGUGUUGUCCUUGAUCAGUACCAACUCUCAGACGUGUCUAUCUCUUGUUGAAGAUGAUAGAUUUGCUUUGCUUUUGCUUUUUGCUUUUCACCUACUGUACUGUUCAUAAAGUAAGCAUGAGCUGAGCUGAACAUUCUGAUCAUCAGAAUGUUCCAUCUGUUUCACUUAGGAUGAUUUGUAAGACUACCAUUUGAUGUAAUCAAAUCCUAAUAGUGAAACAAUAAUGAAGAGCAGUGAUUUUAACACCUAGGAUGAUAUCCCCUUGUGGAAUAUUCCUAGUACAUCAAUGUUCAUAGUCUUAAAUGAACAUUGAAUGCCUUCUUUGACAUAAUCCUUGUAUAUGCCUUUAUUGCUUGAUUGAUUCAUGCAAAUGUACUUUCCAGGACAUAUACCCAUGUCACAUGUGCCUUGCAUGACCUUUGAUCAAAGUUCUUGAGACUCUUGGCUUGUUUAAGAACAACCUUCUGAUCUCAGCUUGAACAUUCUGAUCUUCGAGCAACAUUCUGAUCUAACAUUCUGACCUCAGUGUUAGAUCAUGAAUUCAAAUGUCCUUUGAUUUCUUGAUUCUUGGUAUGAUUUAAACCUUGUUCCUGUCUUAGUAAAACACUCAAUAGCACAAGUUAAAUACCAAGGAAUUAAUCAAAGUCCAUUAAUUCUUUAAUCAUAUUUGUUUAUUAUCUUUAAAAUUAAUUAGGGAUUUUGCCUCAACAGUUUAUCCAUCAUCUCAAAUAUCAAUUCAUAAAACGAAAGUGGAGCUUUGAUAUUCGAACAAGUGAAUUUAGACAAGGAUUGCAAAGUCAGCGAAAUAGGCUUUGCAAUCUUUGAGACAUAUAGUUUCGAUCUUCAAGGGAACUAAUAACAAUCAAGUCAGCGAAAUAGGCUUGGUUGUUAGAGGAACCAAAAUCUAAUAGUAAUCAAGUCAGCGAAAUAGGCUUGGUUGCUAGAGGAACAAAAGAGAAACUGUCUUGAGAAAUUAGGUCUAACAUAAAGUUAUAAGUUUAAUAGUUUGGUUUGAGAAGGACUUGUCAUUAGGAUGAACCAAUAACCCCAAGGCUUUUAUCUUUUAUUUUAUUAUUUACUUUCAAUUAAAAACCCAAAACUUUCUACCUUAUAAAACUUUAUUCUAAUCAUUAUCUAAAGUUAAUUGAAUUCAUAACUCCCUGUCGGAACGAUACUCUAUUUUACUACUUCGGUAAGACCGUGCACUUGCGGUUUUAUCUCAUCAGCGAGCUGCAUUGCACAACUCGCGAGGCGAGGAAAAAGGGGUCGCGAGGCGAGCGAUGAAGUUCAUCACUCGCGAGGCGAGGAUCAUAGCUCGCCGUGGCGAGCGAUGAAUGUCGCUACGGCCAGACUUCCUAUUUUCACAAAACUUCAACGAUUCACAUGGUUCUAAGCCUGAUAUUGAUUCCAAAGUUCGUCCUAAACAUUAUCUAAGUUCUAGAGGCACUUUCUACAUCAAUUUAUCCAAUUCCUACCGUUCGAUUAUCAAUUCUAGGGAUUUGACCUAGUUUUCGUUUUCUCCAAUUCAACCCUAAAGCUUGCUAACUAAUCAUCAGAAUUACAAUCAAUUAACAUUACUGAGUUAUUUGUCCCACCCUUACCUGGUUAUGAAGAAAUCGCAGCCCCCUCCUUUGAUCUUCUCCCUUCUAAGCUUUUUCUCCCUUUUCCAAAAGUUUUCACGUACAAUGAUUUUUCUUAACAAUUAGGUCUUCUCUAUUUAUAUCUCCUCUUAAUAACUUAUCUUAUCUCACUUUCUCCCCCAAAACUAUCUAAAAUCUCAAAACAACCCUUAACUAAAUAUUUUAUAUUAUUUUCAAAUCUUUAUUUUAUUUAACAAUAAAAUAAGUCCCUUAAUCUUAUCAAAUCUUCCAAAACUCAUAGCUUAUCACAAUAUCAACCAAACCAUCAAUAUAGUCGUAAAUCAUUCAAAUCAUACCAAAAUCAUGCAUAUAUUAUAUAAAUAUAAUAUAAUCGCCUAAACUCGAUUAAAUAAACAAUUAACGAAAGUGGGCGUUACAAUCUGGAGUUGGUUGUUGUGGUGUUUGUUUUAAAAAUCUGGAGGCAUUAUUUGUACGGUUCCAGAUUUGAGGUGUUCAGUGAUCAUAAAAGUUUGAAAUAUUUGUUUGAUCAGAAGGAAUUGAACAUGAGGCAGAGGAGAUGGUUAGAGUUACUGAAGGAUUAUGAUUUUGGCUUGAAUUACCAUCCUGGUAAGGCCGAUGUGGUUGCUGAUGCAUUGAGCAGGAAAACAUUACAUAUGUCUGCUUUGAUGGUGAAGGAAUUCGAAUUGUUAGAACAGUUUAGAGACUUGAGUCUGGUAUGUGAAUUGUCACCUCAGAGUAUACAGUUGGGAAUGUUGAGGAUUGAUAGUGAUUUCUUGAACAGUAUCAGAGAAGCUCAGCAGGUAUUUUUGAAGUUUGUUGAUUUGAUGACUUCAGGUAAUGACACUGAGAAUAGUGACUUUAAGGUUGAUGAUCAGGGUGUGCUGAGGUUCAGAGGAAGAGUUUGUAUUCCUGACAAUGAUGAUUUGAAGAAGUUGAUUCUUGAGGAGAGUCAUAAGAGUAGGUUGAGUAUUCACCUGGGGGCUACAAAGAUGUACCAUGAUCUGAAGAAACUGUUUUGGUGGUCCGGUUUGAAACGAGAUGUUGCUCAGUUUGUUUAUGCUUGUUUGACUUGUUAGAAGUCUAAAGUUGAGCAUCAGAAGCCUGCAGGGUUGUUCACACCGUUGGAUGUACCGGAGUGGAAGUGGGACAAUAUCUCUAUGGAUUUCGUGACGAGUUUACCGAACACUCCAAGAGGGCAUGACGCCAUUUGGGUUGUUGUCGACCGGUUGACGAAGUCGGCACACUUCAUUCCUAUUAAUAUCAGUUACCCGGUAGCACAGUUGGCAGAGAUUUAUGUUCAUAGUAUUGUGAAGCUGCACGGUGUACCGUCAAGUAUUGUGUCGGAUAGGGAUCCGAGGUUCAGUUCUAGGUUCUGGAAGAGUUUACAGGACGCUUUGGGUUCGAAGUUGAGGUUGAGUUCGGCUUAUCAUCCUCAAACAGAUGGUCAGUCGGAGAGGACGAUUCAAUCAUUGGAAGAUUUGUUUAGGGUGUGUGUGCUUGAACAAGGUGGAGCUUGGGAUAGUCACCUGCCAUUAAACCGAUAGAGUUACGUGGGAUGAUGUACAGGUUAGGGGCAACCUGACAAUUGAGACUAUGCCAUUGAUAAUUGAUGAUCGUAAGGUGAAGUCCUUGAGAGGUAAGGAGAUACCUCUUGUGAGAGUCGUCUGGGGUGGAACGACUGGUGAAAGUUUGACUUGGGAGCUGGAGAGUAAGAUGCGGGAGUCGUACCCGGAGUUGUUUGUUUGAGGUAAGAUUUCGAGGACGAAAUUCUGUAAUUUGGGGAGAGUUGUAACGCCCUAAUCGUUGUGUUAUUUAUUUUUGAUUUAUGUGGAGUCUAAUAUAUGAUUUUUGGUGAUUUAUGUGGUGUGUUUAUUUUAUUAUAUAGUUUAUUUUAAUACUCUCUCUGUCCCUAAAUAAGUGACAUAUUUGUAAAAAAUAUUUGUCACCACUAGGCUAACCCCAAAUGGGUAUAAAUUCUUCAAUAAUGAAUCAGGAGUGAAGUUUAAAUCACCAUUAUUUAUGCAAUGUGGUAGUGGUCAAUCAUAUAUGGUAAGUUGACAAACAUAACGUUACGUAAAAGAGAGAAAAAUUAAAAACUAUGUCCUGAGAGUAGUUAGCCAUUAAACAUGUAAAUUUAGAAUGAUGGUCAUUCUGUAAUUUUGAGUUAUCAUUAAAUAUUUAAGAACUUGAAAGCGUGUUAAUCAUAAAAUAUUGAUAAUCUACUUACUAUAUUAUAAAAUUAAAUUCCUAGGAUUUUACCAUUUUGUCCCUAGGAGGGGCAUUUUAGUAAUUUCCAAUUGAUGGGGGUGGUUAGUGCCACCUCAUCAUUUUUAGGGUGCAUUUCCCAUUUUGCCCUUCACCAUUUUUUUAUUUAUUUUAUAAUUUUCAUAUUUUUAAUAAAUUUUAUAAUUUUUAUAUUUUUAAUAACUUUUAACUAUUUUUCAAUUUUUUCCUUAAAAAAAAAAAAAACUAUUUUUCAAUUUUUAUUUUUUUUAACUAUUUUCUAAUUUUUUUUUCUCCCAAAUUCAGUUGCUUUUACAUUGCCGUUGUGGGAGAUUAAGAUACUGUUUGACCCGGGUUUUUUUUUUCUUUUCAACUUCUCUACAUUUUUAAGGAGAAGUUAGAUCAAAUACAAUAUCAAUUAAGUACUUACUAAAAAAUGUACUUUUUUUUAAUGCAUAAAAUAGAAUGGAAUGAGCUUUGGCCAAAAGUUGUUGAAUGCUACUUCCCGACAAUUUAUUUCACAAGCAUCUCUCUUCAAUUCACGUUGAGAACCUUUUCUUUUAUUUUCUAAUAUUAUAUUUCAAUAUGUUUUUUUCUUCCAUUUAAUUUUUUUAGCCGUUCCAUUUAAUUUUUUAAAGGAGGUUUCAUUUAAUUUUAUUACCUUUUUUUCAAAGAAAUUUUAUUAUCUUUUUAUCAUUUAUAUAUUUAAUUUAAAUAUCGUUUAAUCCUAACAACCUGACAAAUAUUUUUAUUCACGCUAUCAUUUAAUGAUACAAAUUUUUUUUAUUUUCUUUCUUCAACCUCGCAAAUAUACAGACGCACAUAUUAGCGUUUAGAGUAAUACUUUAUGUGUGUGUGUUUUUUUGUUACGCUAAUGCGUAUAAUUUUUAUAAAAUUUUGAUUUUAAUUAAAAGUACAAUUGUAGAUGUCUUUUCUUCAAAAAAGGUAUAAAUUUCUAAAAAAAUCAUGCAUAUAUAUAUAUAUAUAUAUUGCACCUUUAUAUCGUAACAGACUAUGCAUAUCUUUUUCUUAUUCAAAAAAACUAAACAUUGCAAAAUAGAAAAGGUAUUAUUUUCUAUUUUGUCAGCAUCAGAUGAUAGAAUUUUGUAUAAGUUUGAUAAUGACCCGAAAAAUGUCCUUCCUUAUGUAGUGGGAAUAUAGUUGAUGUAACACUAUGGGAAAAAUACUCCGUAGCUUUAUCAUUUACCAUCUAUUUACCUUGAGUUCUUUGCUUCCAUUUUGUAGUCAAUGUCAACCAAAAUAUAUGUAACAAUUGGUCAGGUUUGAGGCUCAUCAACCUAUAUCAUCCGGUUGUUAAGAAGUUUAAGACUUAGUAAGUUUGCAUUAUGAUUUCACAAUACAGUGUUAGAGUAACUUAUUAUUUCACAAUCCGAUUUGAUUGUUUUUUGACCAUGUUUUUUGAAUUGUUGUCGUGACCUUAACACUUCUCAAGCUCAGAGUCAAAGCUUCAGUUAGAACUUAAGUCAGAGUUCGACUUCUUCUCAACGUACUUCGUACAACGAUUUUUCCAAACUGUCUCAGGUUAGGCCAAUUGAUGAAUUUAUAAACUUAGUCAAUGUCUGCUUUUUUUUAUGCACAAACAUGCUUUGAGUUUUUUUACGCACAAAUUAAAAAUACAUAUUGCAUUAUUUUUUAUUUCAUGUGCAUAUUUUGUGUUAGGAAACAUAUUGCGUCACUAUUUGGAAAACAACUAAAUUCAAUCCUAACCAGUUUGGAUUGUAUUAUGAGAGUUGCUCCUAGGAGGGGCAUUUUAGUAAUUUUCUAUUGAUGGGGUGUGGUUAGAGGUGUCAAAUGGGCCGGCCCAGCCGGGCCCGAGAGGCCCGACCCGUUUAUGAUUGGUCCGUGAAUUCUAGAGACUGGCCUGGCCCGGGUGGGCCAUGGGCCAGCCCAGCCUGACCUGUUUAUGUUUUAUUUUUAAAAUUUAUUCACUUUUUUUUUUAUGUAUUUUCUUAUGUAUUAGUUACUCACCAUUAUUUUUUUGCUAAAAUAUGAUUGGAUGGACUUAAAAAUAUAAAUAGUUUUUAUAUUAAUAUUGAAUAAUAAUUAAACUCUACAUUAUUCUUUCAAUUAAAUCAAAUUAAUAAUUUAUAAACUUUAAAAUUUUAAAAGUGUAAGCUAAAUUCAUUCAUAUUUAUUAAAUUUAUUUAUUUAAAUAUUUUUUUGUUAAUAAAUUUUAAAUUAGUUGAUAAUGUUUUAAAAAAAUAAAAUGAAAUAUGGGCUAAUAGGCCGGCCCAAAGCUCGGUGGGCCAGCCCGGGCCAACUUUUGUAUGGCCCAAAUGAACUUGGGCCGAAAAACCCCGAGUGCAGUUUUUGGUUAGUUUUUUAGGUCCGGUCCGGCCCAAAAACAUGGCCCAAUGGGCUGGCCCAUUUUUGACAGCUCUAGGUGUGGUUAGUGUCACCUCAUCAUUUUUAGUUAGUCUAUGAAACUUGCAAUCUCUUUUAUAAACCUAACUAUUAUAUAACGUUAAUCUGCACAUUGUUGGUUCCUUCAUUGGUUCCAAUUAGUAUCAUGUUAAUUAUAAUGUUGUUUUCCUAAUCUCUUGAACAAAAUAAAACAUGCUAUUUUCCUACAGCAAAUCUUUAUAAUGCUUUUGUAAAUGUUUUAGAAAUGUACAUAUAUAUAACUUCUAAUUAACACUGCAAUUUGUUUUGUACCUAGCACUUUUCAAAUGAGAUAUAUCAAUGACAUUUCUAAAAGGAACACGGAAAACAAUCACACUCAUCGACAAACAAGCUCAAAAAAGGUAUAAGUGUCGCUUGAUAACGGCAAAGAGAACCAGUUAUAAAAAAUACUUAGGCGGCCAAUGGUUCAAAUUUGCCGAGAACAGAUGUUAGAGGUAGGUGAUAAGUUAAUUUUUGAUCUAGAGAAGCCACCUAAAAAUAUGCACGUUCAAAUCGUUCUCAAAUAAAGAUUUGGUGUUCAUGAUCCGCACUUUCAACAGAUCACCUUAACUCUAAUCCUAGACUAGAUUAUAUUCACUCACCGAUGUUACUUCUUUGCUUGAUUUCAUUUGAUGUAAAUAUGGCUAUCAAUCCUUUUUUGGUAACUCUAUAACAACAACACUCUUUUUUAUAAUUUUGGAUAAUAUGUAAAUUCACACAUCAUUGGUUUCUUUAUUGGUUCUUGUUUUCAUCCUAAAUAUUAUGUCAAUUUUUAUUCUCAUAAACUGAUUAUAUGAUCUCUUAAUCAGCUCAUACAUAUUUUAUGAUGAAUCAUAAUGUUCCGUCGUUUUAAUUACUCUUCUUUCAAAGAUUUUUUUUUAUCGAAUACGUUAUUGAACCCGUGCGAAACACGGGUUUGUAACUAGUUGAGGAUGGAAAAUAGAACUUGAAAAUUUAAUGGAAACAGGUUAUCAAUCCAUGAUCUUCUUAAUUUAGUAUCUAUAUAUUACUAUUACUACUUACUAUUUAUUAAAAUUGAUGUCAUAUGAAUUUCCAAUUUUGCCCCCUAGGAGGGGCAAUUUGGUAAUUCUAAAAUUCCUUAUCUUUGGAGAGUGCCAACUCAUCCAAACUUUAUAUUUUAUAUUUAUUUUAUAAUAUUAAAAAUAAUCCUAAAUUCAGUUGCUUCUACAUUGCCGUUGUGGGAGAUUAACGUAUCGUUUGACCUGACUUUUUUUCAACUUCUCUACAUUUUUUUAGGAGAAGUUAGGUCUAUGAAGCCCGGAUACACCAAAGUGGAGAAGUACUCGUACUCGAUACGUAUCGGAUUCUGAUACUCCGCGGAUACUCUCGGAUACGUACCCACAGAGUAUCAUAAUUAAUUCUUUUAAUUUAAAAUAUAUAUUUUAUCGGAUACUUAUAAGAUAAUCGACAGAUAUACACGGAUACUUAUACAUUUUUUUAUUUUGAUCACAUGUAUUAUUUUUUUGUAAAUUGCGACUUUUAUGAUUAUAUAGUAUUGAAGAGUAAUCAAUGUUUUUCUAAGUAUUUUACAUGCAUAUAAAUUUUAGUAUAAAUAAUUUGUUGACGUAUCUUAACCGUAUCGUAUCCUAAUUUAAAAAAUUUCGCGUACCCGUAUCUAUACUACGUAUCUGUGCUUCAUAGGGUCAAACACAAUAUCAAUUAAGUACUUACUACAAAAAAAAUACUUUUUUUGAAUGCAUAAAAUUGAAGGGUAGCUUUGGCCAAAAGUUGUUGAAUGUUACUUUAUAAAAUUACUUCUUGACAAUUUAUUUUACAAACACCUCUUUUCAACUCACGUUGCGAACCUUUUCUUUUAAUUUUAAUAUUAUAUUUCAAUAUGUUUUUUCUUCCAUUUAACUUAAUUUUAUUUAAUAUUUUGAACCAACCCAUCUAAUUUUUUAAGGAGGUUCCAUUUAAUUUUAGGGUUAAUAGUGUUUUUAACCCCUGUAAUAUAUGUCAUUUCUGGUUUUCGCCCCUAUAAAAUUUUCGGUUUGAUUUGCACCCUCGUAAAAAUUUUAUUUUCCGGAAAACACCCCUAAUAGGCCAUUGGUCUGUUUUUUUGUUACGCUAAUGCAUAUAGUUUUAUUUUAGUGUUGAUUGGUUGAGUGCUACCUCACCGAUUUUUUUAACUAUUUUCCAAUUUUUUCUUCCAAUUUCAGUUGCUUCUGCACUGCUGUUGUGGGAGAUUAAGAUAUCGAUUAACCCGGGUUUUUUUUUCUUUCAACUUCUCUACAUUUUUAAGGAGAAGUUAAACCAAAUACAAUAUCAAUUAAGUACUUACUAAAAAAGACACUUUUUUUUAAUGCAUAAAAUUGAAUGGAAUGAGCUUUGGCCAAAAGUUGUUGAAUGUUAUUUCAAAAAACUACUUCUCGACAAUUUAUUUCACAAGCAUCUCUCUUCAAUUCACACUGGGAAGUUUUUCUUUUAGUUGUUGAUAUGUUUUUUUCUUCCAUUUAAUUUUUUUUUAACUGUUCCAUUUAAUUUUUUUUAAGGAGGUUCCACUUAAUUUUAUAACCUUUUUUUCAAAGGAUUUUUAUUAUCUUUUUAUCAUUUAUAUAUUUAAUUUCAAUAUUGUUUAAUCAUCACAACCUCACAAAUAUUUUUAUUCACGCUGUCAUUUAAUGAUACCAAAUAUUUUUAUUUUCUUUCUUCAACCUCGCUAAUAUAUACACACAUACGUCAGCGUUGAGAGUAAUGUUUUAUGUGUCUGUUUUUUUGUUACACUAAUGCGUAUAAUUUUUUUGGCGUUGCAUAAUGCGUAUGUUUUAUUUUCAACCUCACAAAUUAUUGUCCUUUUAUAGUAGAGAAAAAUGCUCUGGUGAUAGUUUGCACUAUACAUCACCAUCUUUAUUGAGUUUAUUCCAAUUCACCACCGCCAUGUCUCAUCCAUCGUUCACAACCUCCAAACCAGCCAUAAUCAAUUGGAAGUGCCUUGUUGAUGACGAUUCCGUGAAGAUCGCCCCCCAAUAACCUAACACAACCCAGACCACAACUUUCAUUCGCGCAAGCUCUUACCAACUCCAACAUUUGCGACAUCUCCUCUAGCCAGCUCCCAAACCAACUCUUAAGGGAGACAAGUUCUCAAUCCUGAUUCCCGAUGAUGAAUAUGAGAAGGGUCUGGACUCAUGCAAGAAUAAUUUACACGCACACAUCUUUUAGCCGAAAGGGUCUUCACCUCUUACGUGUGUUGCCUUGAAGGAGAAGCUUAAACCUGUUUGGAAAAACCUUGGUCCAUGGGGGGUUUCCUCCAUUGGCAAAGGGUUCUAUGAAUUUGUAUUUUCCUCAAUUGAAGAUGCAAGAAGGGUUAGGUCAGUAGGAUCAUGGAUGUUGAACCCUGGUUUGCUAAAACUCUUCCCUUGGACAAGAUAUUUUAAUGCUAAUUUACAAACUAACACCUCCGCUCAGGUUUGGUUGAAGAUUUAUGGUUUGUCCCAAGAAUAUUGGAGAAAGAAAAUAUUGUUUGCCAUUGCAAGUAGUGUAGGAACCCCUAUUUGUGUUGAUGCGAUAACAAGCAAGCCAGCCAUGGAGAGGACUUUUGGUCACUUUGCAAGGGUCCUGGUUGAUACUGAUUUGACAAAGGAAUUGAAAUAUGAGGUUUUAGUGGAAAGGAAGGGUUACACGUUUUUCGUGGAAUUUGCUUACGAAAAUCUGCCUGACUUUUGUGAUUAUUGCAAAAUAUACACAUAUGUGUAAAAUUCUAUAAAAUUCAACUUUUUUUUUAUUUCAUAGAGAAACUUACAAUUUAUAGAGCACUUGUUGCAAGUAUCUCAAUGGACCCUAAUAAAUUAAAAUACACCUAAUAUUAUUCUAAAGAAAAGAAAUAAAUGACAUACUAACCUUACAAUUAUUCUAAAAAUAAAACACUAAAAUUAUUCUUUGAGAAUUAACGUGACUUAUUUGUUAUCUUCAUUUUCAAUUGAUAAAAACUGCUCCAAACAAAUUCCAAAACCGUUGCAAGCUGCCACCUUUAAGUGUAGUAAUUACUAUCAAGCUGCCACAUUUAAUUCUAAAACCGUUAUGAACCAGCCUCAUUUAUCUUCAUUGGAAUUGACCUGAAUGGUUGUGACAUUUAAAAAUCACGUUUUGUUUGGUCUUUGGUGAGCUAGUACCAGGAAUCAAAAUAAUUCUCUACUUUGGAAACAAUAAAAACCAACAAAUUGUCCCUUGAGCAGCUUGUGACUUAGUACUCCACUUGAUGUAUCAAAUUAUGCAAUGAUGAAUCAUAGAGAUUUAAGCCAUGAAUCUUCAAUUAGUUAAUACCAAAGCAGUGAGAAUAAUAUAGCUCAUAGAAGAAAUUAUUCAAUUAGAAAAUAUGAUGCUGACUUGGAAUUAAAUGAAUAAAAUAUUCAUUUUUCAUGCAUUUUUUUAUAGGUUUCCUUCCACAUGCUUAAUGAACUUUUGAUCUCAUCAUUCUCCCCCUCUUCAAAAGGAUUUGACCUCAAAUCUAAACCUGCAUAAAAUUGAAGUGAGUGAUGUAGAAUUUUUUUCCCUUGUGAAUUAGGGAAAUAAUCAUAUUUUCAAAGAACAUGAUUGUUUUCUACUAGUUGAGAAAAAACUUCUUCAUUUGCUUGGUUUCCUUCAUGAGUUAAAGAAGAAAGGUUAGGAGAUUGCAAAAUAUUAGAAGAACCCCAACAUUUAACUACACAUACCAACUUUGAUGAAGGUACUAGUGUAAUAGUAGGCCAAAACUUCCCAACAUUUUUCUCUUCAUUUACCUUCUCACUCACCUUUUUCUCUUCUUUUUCCUUCUUGAAGUCUUUCUCAUGACUUUCUUUUACAAUGAGAUCCUCUAUUUUUUCAACAUCUCUUUCACGCUUUUUAUAAUCAUUUUGAAUUUGAAGGAGCUCUUCCUCAAAUGUUUUAAAAAUAGCAGCAAUCCCUCUUUCAAUCUGAUGUGAUCCUAAUAUUCUCUCUCUGGAAAAGAAUAAUAAAGUCAUUGUGGAAUAAAAGAACCAAAUUAAUUUUGGGUUCAAAGUCUUAUUUUCGUAGGUCAUGAUAUGUCUGUCUUGUUUUGGCUAUAUCUGGAGCUCUGGAUGUCCGUUUGAGGUGAUCUUUAACUCGUUGGAAAGCUUACGAAAUUCUCUACAUUUCAUCUGUUUGAGUCAAGAGCAAAUUCAGAAUAUUUAAUGGUGCAGAAUGAGCUGUAAGUAGAAGACGUGGUUAAAGUAUGUUAGCUGAAGAAUUAAAGGUGGUGUUUGUGGAAAUGUAACGUCUAGCCAUAAUAAGCAUUCACAAAUCAAUGUGCAAAUGAAUAUGUAACCUUCUCAUGCAUUGAUCAGCCACCAACUUUAAAGAUCCAAUUAAAUUGUAACCUCUUUUGUAAUAACUAGCCACCUAGGAGUUAUAACACUAAUUAUGUUAUGAUUGUAAGCAUUUCAGCAUCCAAGCCUAUUUCCUAUAUAAAGGGGGCGAAAAUAAUGAAGGGACAAGUAGAAUUUUGAUAAAAAAAAUACACUUUGUGUGUUGUGAAACUUUGCUUCUUUUUGGUUCUGGAUUGAACCAUGCAUUGAUCUUAUCAAGAAACCACGUUUCUUGUGGCGAUCCUCUACCAAAUUAAACAUCUUCCUUGGAUUGGGAACUUGUUUGGUUAUCAUUUCUGUCUAUUUCCACCAUUCUUCACUUUUUAUUAUUGUAUUUUAUCCAACAUUCACAAAAAUACAAAACUAAAAUUUCAACCUAUUUUUGUCUCUCAUCAAGUGGUAUUCAGAGCACGGUUUUGUUUGGGAAAAAAAUUGUUUCCAUUUGGAAAUCCCUUUUCAUUGUUACCAUUUUUUUCUCUUCAUUUUAAUCUCUCUAUGAUUCUAGGAAAAAAAUGGAAAGAUAUUGUGACAAAAAAAUCAAAGUUCCAUUUUUUCGAGGGCAAAGAGACCCGGAUGCAUAUUUAGAGUGGGAAACAAAGAUUGAACAAUUUUUUCAAUGUAAAACUUACUCUAAUGUUCAAAAAGUGCAGGUUGCAGCUCUUGAAUUUAAAGAAUAUGCAUUGUUGUGGUGGGAUCAAACUAUCAAGGAAAGAAGGAGGUAUGGAGAUCCACCAAUUGAAACUUGGGAAGAAAUGAAAACAAUGAUGAGGAGGCGUUAUGCACCUUCUUAUCAUCUUAGAGAAAUUCAAAGAAAGAAGGUAGAAAAGAUGAAAGGAGAAAAAAUAUUGCAAAGAGAAAGGGAAAGUCAAAAAAGAAAGAAGGAAAUGAUGGCAAUAAUUGAUAGAGGCAUGGCUGAUAUCUCUAAAAUAUUAGAGGAAAAUCUCCUUGAAAAAGAGAGUCUCAUUGUAAAGGAAACUCACAAAGAAGAAUGUGAAAAGGAAAGAGAAGAGACAAAAGCAAGUGAUGAAAAGGAAGUAGAGGAGAAAGGAGAAGAAAAGGAGAAUGAGAUGGAAAAGGAAGAGAAAAAUGUUGACAAGUUUUGGCCUACUAUUACAUUAGUACCUUCUUCUAAAUUGGUUUGUGUUUUCUGUUGGAACAAAAUGUGUUUCACAAUGAACCUUAAUAAGUUUUGAUGAUAACAAGGUAUUAAAAAUUGUCAAUUGGUUAUUACUAAUAAUUGUUCAAGUGUAUAGGACCAAAGGCUAGUCAAGUAAUUUCAAUAGGUCUUGGAAGAACAAUGGAAAGAAAAAGAAAUUCUAAGCAUCUGAAGAAAACUGUGUCUGAAGCUAGAGUGCUUCUGAGCUGAAGUGCCUCUGAAGUGAUGACGUCAUCAGAAGCAGAAACUCAUCAGAAGCAGAAGGUCAUCAGAAGCAAGGUUUUCAUCAGAAGCGAAAUCAUCACCAGAAGCUACAAUUGAUUUGUAAAUUCAAACUGAAGAUCCAAAGUAGCUUGUUUCUCAUUUCAACCUCGUCUAAGAAGAACGAAGAAUUGAAAGGGAGGUAUCAACGGUCAUUUGGAUAGCACUGAGUAUUUGUCUUUCGUUAACAGAGUUGACAAAAUACAAGUGUGCAACCACUACCUCCACUACUUUGUUUUGUCCAANNNNNNNNNNNNNNNNNNNNNNNNNNNNNNNNNNNNNNNNNNNNNNNNNNNNNNNNNNNNNNNNNNNNNNNNNNNNNNNNNNNNNNNNNNNNNNNNNNNNCUUGUGUAUAUCUACACACAACCCAACCCUACUGCAUUUAUACGUAUAUGACUCACCACUCCAAUUUACAACUUUCAUGUAUAACUUAAUUAAAUAAAAGCAUACAUCCAGCCAGCAUCCAUUCAUCACAACCAAUUUAGGACAUCCAGAAAAAGACACCAAUAUAAUAGUCAUGCCUAAUCGCCAAGACAAUUCAACAAUCAACAACAGAAAUCAACCAACAAAAUACUGGGCAGCUCGCCUCGCGAGCUCAGGAAAUAAGGUACUCGCCAUGGCGAGUUCGAGGCGAACUCGAGGCGAACAAGAAAAAUGGUGCUCUCGGGAGUUUGACAUUUUUCUCACUAAAUCAUCAAUUCUAAGCUCCCUAUUCAUCUUUUUAAUAUAAAACUUGCUCCAGUCAUCAUUAAAAUCAUCUAGGUACAUAAAACUACCCAAAUUACGACUUGUAACAACAUUUCAAAAAUCCAGAUUUUCUCAAGGUUACUCGCCAUGGCGAGUUGUCUCACUCGCGAGGCGAGCCAUGAAGUUGCUCACUCGCCUUGGCGAGCAAGGCUACUCGCGAGGCGACGAAUGAACUUCUGUACGGGCAGAAUGCAAGUUUUCCCCGAAAAUCUCAUUUUCCUCCAAUUCACUCCCCAAAUCAGUUUACAGAUAUGCAAUGAAAAGUUAUGUGCACUCAUAACCCAUUUCUUAACAUCAAAAUCACAAUCCCUACUCUCAAAACCCAUUAAUUUAACAAAACCUAACUUCUCUCAAUUCUCACAUAAACCUGUUAAAAACAAAAUCAGAAUUAAGAACCUAUACAAUUGCGGUAAACUUCACGCUUACCUUCAAAAUGUUUUAUAAAGAAAACAUAGAGAAGCGUAAACAGCGGUACAAUUAGAAACAAAACAAUGACGAGAACCCAAUCUCCGCAAAUUCAGUUCAACCACCACCCACCCACCAUCAACAAGUGCAACCGUCGCCGCUCUCCAAUGCCAUCCUCCGCCGAACCGUUGAAGACCGUUCUGCGAGAGACCCAAUUCCAUUUCCUCAAUCACAACUAGUCGCUCCAAUGUUGUUUUCAAGUUUAAGGUUUAUUUCUUCUUUUAAUCCCACUUUCCUUUAUUCUUCGUUAUUAAAUCACUCAAAUUCACGUUCACCCUUACCGUUAUGAUUUUACUCUCACUUUAGAUCCAUUCCCAAUGGUUUUGUUGUUGAUAAUGCUGUUUUGUCGUUCAAUCGCAUGCGCCAAAUUCGUCAGACUCCAUCCAUUGUUGAAUUCAAUAAGAUCUUAACAUACCUUAUUAAGACUAAGAACCACUACCCCACUGUUCUUUCCCUUUCCACACAGAUGGAAUCCAAGGGAGUUAAGCCUGAUUUAUUUACUUUGAGCAUCUUGAUUAAUUGUUACUGCCACUUAGGUCAAAUGACUUUUGCCUUUUCUGUAUUUGCCAAGAUUCUUAAGAUGGGUUAUGAACCGAAUACCAUACCUUGACUACUCUUAUCAAAGGUUUGUGUCUUAAUGGUAAGGUCAAUGAAGCUCUUCUUUUUCACGACCACGUGCUUGCACUUGGAUUUCACUUGAAUCAUGUUACUUAUGGUAUCUUGAUCAAUGGAUUGUGUAAAAUGGGACAAACAAGAGCCGCCUUACAAGUGUUGAGACAAAUUGAAGGGAAAUUGGUCAACACCAAUGUGGUAAUGUAUAGCACAAUCAUUGAUGGUUUGUGUAAAGAUAAACUAGUAACUGAUGCCUAUGGUUUAUAUUCAGAAAUGAUUGUAAAGAGAAUUCCUCCCACUGUUGUCACUUUCAGUUCUCUAAUCUAUGGAUUUUGUAUUGUUGGUAAAUUCAAAGAUGCAUUUCGUUUGUUUAAUGAAAUGGUAAUGAAAAACAUCAACCCAGAUGCUUAUACUUUUAAUAUAUUGGUUGAUGCUCUUUGUAAGGAAGGAAAGAUCAAAGAAGCUAAAAAUGUGAUAGCUGUGAUGAUGAAAGAAGGUGUGGAACCUACUGUUGUUACAUAUAAUACAUUAAUGGAUGGGUAUUGCCUAGUUAAUGAAGUGGGUAAGGCCAAACAUGUGUUAAGUAUUAUAUCUCGAAUGAGAGUGGCACCUAAUUCUCGUAGCUAUAAUAUCAUGAUUAAUGGAUUCUGUAAGAUUAAAAUGGUCGACGAAGCCUUAUGUCUCUUUCAUGAAAUGUGUUGCAGAGGAAUUGCUCCUCAUAAGGUAACUUACAAUUCUCUCAUUGAUGGUUUGUGCAAAGCAGGGAGAAUCCCCUAUGCUUGGGAGCUUGUUGAUGAGAUGCAUAAUAAUUGUAUACCAGCCGACAUAGUCACUUACAAUUCUUUGAUAGAUGUUUUCUGCAAAAACCAACAUGUUGACAAGGCUAUUGCAUUAGUUAAGAAAAUUAAAGAACAUGGCAUUCAACCAAAUAUGUGCACAUACAAUAUACUUAUUGAUGGACUAUGCAAAGGAGGACAACUCAAGAAUGCACAAGAUGUUUUUCAGGAUCUUUUGAUUAAGGGUUAUAACGUAAAUGCUUGGACGUAUAAUAUUAUGAUCAAUGGACUUUGUAAAGAAGGCUUGUUUGAUGAAGCAGAGGUCUUGUUGUCAAAAAUGGAGGACAAUGGUAUCAUUCCUGAUGCUGUAACUUAUGAAACUAUCAUCCAGGCUCUCUUUCAUAAAGACGAGAACGAAAAGGCACAGAAACUUCUUCGUGAAAUGGUCAUUAAAGGUCUCCUAUAAUGGAAACACUAGGUAAGAUGAUCUCUCAUUAUAUAAUUGGUUAUUUUGAUGACAAAUAUGCAACUUCUGUGAUUUAUUUAUUUUGUCGACAACUAUACAAAUAAAGGUGGACCACUCAAUGUUCUAACUAUCACUUUCAUUUUAAUCAAAAGCCAUGAGUUGUUGUUAUGUUCAUUUCAAUAUUAGAGUGGCGUCAAUGGUUGAUUUUUUAUUUUUUUUUAUCUUCAUAUGGUUAUCCAUUUUCUUUGCAAGGUACUGUCGAUCAACUUCAUUUACUUUUAAGGAUAUUUUCAUUCAUUGCUCAUUUUUAGUGAGUCAAAUCACAAACAAAUCUGAGAAGGUAGGAGCUUUGAUAGUUGAUGUUUUAUAUGAUUUAUUGAGUGUUUAAUUGAAGUAAUAAGUUUAUACAAGUCUUGUAUCUUGGCAAAAUUGGUACUUCACCAGUCCUAUAAUUGUGAUUUGCAUUACAGUCCAUUAAAUUCUACAAAUUCUUCAAUUAAAUUUGUUUGUAAGUCAAGGAGUUUUAUUUGUUUGCUGAAUGCCGAUGACUGUCUCAAUAUCUAUAGUGUUUAUAAAAAUACUUUAUAUAUCAAUAUAACAAGUUUGAAUCUAUCUUUUGUCUUACAACAGUAAAACACUUUGAAUCUAUCUUGUACCUUUAUGAUAGAAUCCCUCAAUACAAGCUCUUAGCAACAGGCUCAAAUUUGGAUAUUGUUUUCUUUCAUUGUUUUGAAUUUUGACUUUGCUCCUAUUUUUGGUUUGAGACGUUUAUUGCACUAGCACCAAAGUGAUCUUUAUCUUCCAAAUCAUACUAAAAAAUCAAAAUUACUAUGAAUAUCCGUCUCAGGAUGGGAAUCUAGUUCAGGUCUAGUGCAUGGUCCUGAUAUAUCAUCUUAUUACAUAUUUGUUUGUUCUCAAACGGACUGCUCCUGUCAGAAAAAAUGGACUGCUGCAAGUUCUGUUGUCGGAGUAUAUUUUAGGCCUUAAUCAACAUGGAUAUUAAUAAAGCCUAACGAAUCGUUUCUGCAACCACAAAGGAAAGGUGUUGUUUUAUUCAUUCUGUGUCUCUUUCUUGUUAUGUUGUUAUUAGUGUGGAUUUGUUUCAGUCUGUUAAUUGUUAGCCUCACCCGUCAAUUGAUGAGUUUAACAUGGUUUGGAUUCAACUGUAACUGCUUUGUUGAUUUAUUGAUCUGUUUUUGUAAUGUUUGCUUAUUCUGAAUCUCCCAUAUUAUUGUUGGUGUAGGUGUUGUUGUGUAUGCUUUUGAAGCGAUAUGAAUGUUUUUACAUUUAGAAUCUGAGGCUAUAGAUUAGGAGAACUUUGGUAGGUAGGACAUUGAAUUUGGGUAUGAAUUUGAUUUCUCUAUUGUUUAGUGCUUUAGAAUGCUUUUCUUUCGGUGAGGAAACAAAGGAUAUUAUGAUAUCACUACUAUUUUGGGUCAAAUGUUGCUAGUGUCGUGUUUCAAUUGAGGCUUUGUAUUUAACUUUUUUUUUGAGAGCUUUGUAUUAACUUGUUUAUUACUUUUCCUUUGACGAUUAACCCUGUUUGUGAGAUGUUUGAGAGCAGGUUUUGUGACUCUAGGUAUUGCUUUUGGUCUUGGUGAUGAAUUUGGUUGCAAUUAUGGUGCCUAAUUUUGCUGAUUUUCUUUCACUUGUUGGAAGCAGUGUGUGUAUUGUGCUUGGAUUUGUGUUUUCUGCUUUGAUUCAUUAUAUGGUUUUCAAGGAGGGGUUGGGUUUGAGUGCAUCGUUUCAGAUGAGGCAAUUUUUGAAAUUCGAUCUAUGUUCUUUCUAACUACACUGCUUGUGUUCUCAUUUGUGAAACUAUGUUCUUAUUCUUAGAAAAAUCUUAAAAGUUAUCAACACCAAGAGCCUGUUUGAAACACUUCCCAAAAACUCUUUUUUAGUUUUUAAAAACUUGAAAAUUAAAAACUUGUUUGCUAAACUAUUAUUAAAAUUACAGUUUUGGAAACUGUUUUGAAUUUUUUAGUUUUGGGGACUAAAAAACUAAAACAUGUAAAAGGAUAACUAUUGUGAAAAGAGGACUUGUAUAUUUCAAAAACUGAAAACAAAAACGCUCUAUUUAGAUAAUAGAAAAACUGUUCUGUUCGUAUAGAAAACAAUUCGGUUCGUAAAGGUUAACAGUUUCGUUUUGCAAGGAUUGAUCAGUUCGGAUUCAAAGUACAGAACCCUAUUCAUUGAACCUUAAAACCGGUUAUUUUCGGACAUGUUAUGAACGGCUGGGUUUAGCUAAACUGAUUCUGAUUUCGGUUCUGUUCUGUUCUUUAAUUGAACCAUAAAGAGUCCUAAUUUGCAUGCUAUAAAAGUUCCUUGCGUUCCUUGCAACACUUUGAUGAAUUUCCAAUCUUGUUGCCAAUUAAUCAGAUGGCUCACAAUAAAUGUGACCGUAGAACAGAAGUGGCUGAGAUAUUGUUGAAAAUUGUUUAUGUUGUUCUUUUUGACUGAACUUGAGCUGAGAAGUACUCUGAUUUUGUUAGAUAUUGACUGAGUAGCAAUUAUGAGUUUUAGGUGUGAUGCCAGAUGUUGGUAUGUAUAGUUCCUUUUGUGGUAUAAAUAAAAGGCCACAAAAUUUGCCUACAACAUAUCUUAGUAAACAGGCCUAUAAAAGUUACCUUAUAGUUCAACCAUAAUGGGUCAACACAGUCACCUUCUUUCUCCCUGUUUCUUGUCAUCUGUAGCGACAUGGCAAUUAGGAACAGUAAGUGGGUGCAUUAAAACCACAACUUUUUAUAUAGAAUUAUGUUAUAUUUGUUUUCAAAUAGUUUCAUUAUGUUUCAUGAUUAUUACUUACACUAUGUAAUCUUAGAUAUAAAUCAAAUAGAGAAAACAAAUCAAGUUUCGCCCCGUUUGGAUUGGCUUAUAUGAGAUUAUCUACACUCAUAAGUCUUUUUAAAGGUGUUUGGGUAAAUAAAUAAAAAUAACUUAUCAUAGUUUCAUAAGCUGCUAAUGCCAUGUUUUAAUAAGCCUAAAUUUUCAGCUUAUCCUCCUGCUUAACAAGGAGCUUAUGAAUUUAUGUAACCUCCUGCGAUUAUCUCUGGAUCCACUUUUUCAAAACAUAUAUUUUAUUUUAUUUUUUGUUUUUAGAAAGAAAAAAAACAUAUAUUAUAAUUAUAAUGUUAGUUAUCUUUAGUGGUGCAUAAGUAACAAAAUUGCUAGAUAUUUAUCUUACUAAAGUAACACACGUAACUAAGAUUUCUUUUUUUGUUUUAAGAAAUUUUUUUUUUUUUUUUUUGGUUACGUAACAAAAUGAAACUGAAUAAAAAAAACAAACUUAACUUGUCUUUUUUUGGUAACAAAUUGUACAGUAAUAUCUAUAUAUAUGGUAAGUUUACAAUCAUUUUUUGAAGAAGCUAAACUACCCCUUAAUUUGGCACCAGAGAGAAUCGAACCUGAGACCCUGAGGAGGAGCACACUCACAGGUUCCAAGCCAAUACCACUAGGCCAACCCAAGUGGGUUGGUAAGUUUACAAUCAUAAUUUCUCAAGUUUAUUUAUGCAGAGUGUUUACGCAACAUACAAUUAGGUAACUUUCUAUUUUUUUUUUUUAAGGUACGAAUAUUGAUUAUACUAUAUAUAUAUAAUUAUAAUUAAUAUAUUUUAUUAUUGUUUUUUUACAUCUUGAUUAAUUUUAUCAAAAUAAAUCUUUACAUCUUGAUUAAUUUUAUCAAAAUAAAUCUUGAUAAUUGUGGUUCGAUUCUUUGAUUUUUUUUUUAAAAUUAAAAUAUUUAAUAUUUCGAUAAUUGCUUAUGUAAUGUCACAUCCAAACACUUUAAUUUAUGUAAGUACUUUUUAGUGUACAUAUCCAAACAUAAAUAGCUUAUCAAGUAUAAGAGCUUAUGAUGUAAGCUAUAAUGUUAUAAGCCCUAAUGCUAUAAGCAUCUAUAUAAGUUGUUUAUCCAAACGGGGCCUUUAACUAUGUACAUAUGCUUCAGAUGCAACAGCAGAGUGUUUUAAUGGCUGAAGUAACGAAACAACUGGAAUUGCAGAAAACACCUUUAGUGAGAGAAGAGUAUGUUGAAUCAUCACAGAACGAGUCACGUUUGGCUGGAAAGAAAGUGAAAUUACCACUGUUCGAAGGGGAUGAUCCAGUUGCGUGGAUCACACGUGCUGAGAUCUACUUCGAUGUGCAGAAUACUCCAGAUGACAUGAGGGUGAAAUUAUCCCGUUUGAGUAUGGAAGGUCCUACGAUCCAUUGGUUCAACUUACUAAUGGAAACAGAGGACGAUCUAUCCAGGGAGAAAUUGAAGAAGGCGUUGAUCGCUCGUUACGACGGUCGAAGACUGGAGAAUCCAUUCGAAGAAUUAUCAACACUUCGUCAAAUUGGAAGCGUUGAAGAGUUUGUCGAAGCUUUCGAGUUGCUAUCGUCGCAGGUUGGAAGGUUACCGGAGGAGCAAUAUUUGGGUUACUUCAUGAGUGGAUUGAAAGCUCACAUCAGAAGACGAGUUCGUACGCUGAAUCCUACGACGCGGAUGCAGAUGAUGAGAAUCGCAAAAGAUGUGGAGGAUGAAUUGAACGAGGAAGAUGAUGAUGGAGGUCGACCUUACGGGAAGAAGCAUGGAGGUGAUCGGGUGGGCUGAAAUGAAUGAGCUGGGUUGAUGUUUAAGAAUCGGAGCAGAUCUAACCCGAGUUCAAAAGAUCCGACCCGGUUCACUAACCCUACUGGAUUUAACCCGGUUCACAAAACAGGUUCGGUGGGUUCCAGUCAAAAUUCAAACACGUCUUUGAUUUCGACUGGGAGAAAAUCUUAAAAUGACCAUCGUGUUGUAACUUCAGAACGAUGGAAGGGUGUUAGGAGCAUACAGAACGGCGAAAUGGCGGAGAGAAGGGCAAAGGGUUUGUGCUUCAAGUGUGGAGGAAAAUACCAUCCAACACUUCAUAAGUGCCCUGAGAAAUCGUUGAGGGUGCUGAUUCUAGGUGAAGGGGAAGGUGUUAAUGAAGAAGGGGAAAUUGUUUCGUUGGAAACACAAGAGGUUUUAGAAGAGGAAGAAGAAGAAAUUGAGUCUGAAUGCAAGGUGAUUGGAGUCUUGGGUAGUAUGGGGGAGUACAAUACGAUGAAGAUUGGGGGAAAAUUAGAGAACAUUGAUGUGGUGGUAUUGGUGGAUAGUGGAGCCACUCACAACUUCAUCUCUGCCAAACUAACCUCUGCUUUGGGUUUGACUAUCACUCCUAUGGCUGCUAGGAAAAUCAAAUUGGGAGAUGGACACGAAGUACUGUCACAAGGAGUUUGCAAGGGCAGGGAAGGAACAAAGGAAGGCAGUGUUUUCUUAACUCAUUCUCAGAAGGAAGACAAGAAGGGUUGGAAGAAGAGUGGUGGAUGUCUCAAUUUGAACAACUUAUCUCUGGCCAAACAUGUGGAAACACUUCAGUAAGCAUAAACAUGUGAGUCAUAGUUAGCUUAUUUAGGAAAUGAUAAAAAAAACAUGUGGAAACAUCAUUUUUGGAUGGAUUUAGUGAGAAUUAACUUUUGAAAUAAAAUAAAACUAUAAAAUUACAACAAUCCCCCACAUAUUUCAAAAGUUAAAAUGCAUCGGAACGGUAUAGCAAGCUAUGGAACCCGUCCUAGACUAAUGAGGCUUAACACACACUGAAUUGGUUUAGCAAGCUAUGGAACCCAAGACACUUGGUGUAUGCUAGAGGUCUCACAAUCACAUUACACCCUCACAAUUCUUGUUGUUACGCGGUUGUGCGCUAAUAGGCCGUGUGCGGGCCUAGUAUUCAUGACUGCUCUAGAGAUUUUGCCAAGAUCUCAUGCAAGCGGUGUAACACCCCAAAUUUUAAUAUUAAUUGUCAAUAUUAUUAAUAGAUAAUAUUAAUAUUAUUAUCGGGUAAAAUUAGUAUUAUUGUUAUUAUUAUCAUUGAGACUUGAUAUUAUUAGAUUAAAUCAUUUGUGGUUAUAGGUGUUACGAAUAAUGAGGAAAUAAGGAGGAGUUAACUAGUCAGAUGAAUAAUUCGAGAAAAACAAUUUUUAGGGAGAAAAUAGUGUGCCAUUGUUGAAAAAUAAAGUUUUGGUGGUUCUUAUUAUUUUAUGUGAAUUUAAAUUAUAAAGAGAUGAAUGAUAUAAUAACUAAUAAAGAUAUGAGGUGAGAAAUAGAAGUAAUAAAAUAAGUGGGGGAGGAGGGAGUAAAUUAUGAUAGGUGGAGGAGAGAAAAGUAAUUAUAAUAAGAAUUUAACCUAGUUUCCUAAUAUAAAUAGAUGAAUAGAAAUUCAUAAAACAUUAUUGCUGAACGUGAGAACAAGAGAGAAGUAUAGAGGAAAGGAGGCAAACCCUAAGGAGAAUUGAACCAAAAGCUGCGUUUCCAGAGAAUUCGAGGUAAGGGGAGAAUCUUUGCACUUUAGGGUAUCUUAAUUUAUGAUGGGAGGUUGUCUUAAAUUUUAAUGCACUUUUGCUGUUAUGAUGUAAAUGUUGAUGAGUGAAUGAUGAUGGACGAAUUGAAAGAUGAAAUUAAAAGAUGACAAUUGAGGGAAACUAGUUUAGGUUUUUGAAUUGAGUUUUAGUAGUGGAUAAUCAGGUAGGUUAGCGAAGAAUUAGUGUUUCAAUGAUAGGGUAGUCAUGGAGUGAAGAUUAGGGUCGAAUUUGGCGAGUUUAGGGUCGAAAACGGAGCUAGGAAAGGUCCCUUGAGGCUAAAUCGCACAUGCGAAAUCGCAGAAAAUCUGUGAUUUCUGUAACCGAAACAAACAAUAAAAACUGGCACUUUUCUGUUGAGAAUUAGAUUUCGGUGUCUUCACGAAAGUUGUAGGUAUGGAUGUUAGCUUUCUAAUGCCGUUGGUCUGACGUCAAACGGAUUUAUAGAACUUGAGUUAUGGUCAAAUUACUGCGCAUAGGUCACAUUGAAUUUUUAUGAAUUUCAGCACAAUUUUGUCCGAAUUUGAAAUGAAAACUGGUAUUGAUUGGUACAGAAUUGGUCUUAGGUGUAAACAUGAAAGUUUUAGAUAUAGAUGUUAGCUUUCAUUUGGCUUUACAGUGACCCCAAUAGAACGUCAAAAACUUGAGUUAUGAUCAAAAUACUACCCAGAGGUCAACAUGGCCGCGCACUCUGCCUAGGUUUAGGAAAACCAACCUUUGCACCACUUUCUGUAUCGAAUUUAAUUUAGGUUCCUUCAUGAAAGUUGUAGAUAUGGGUAAUAUAUUUAUUUUAGAUUUAGUUUGACCUCAUUCAGACAUUCUUAAGUUGAGUAAUGAUUAAAAUAUCGCACGUGGGUCAUGCUGCAUUUUUCAUGAAGUUUCAACACCACCGUUGUAUUGGACUCUAAACCAUCCAUGAUAGUAUUAGUGAUUUUAAUAAAUCCGUUAGCGUGUAAAGUAAAGGUGAGGGUCCUUAAGCUUUACAUCUAAAUGAAGGAGUGUGAUCAAGCAUAAAUAGAAGCGAUUACCUAAGGAUAAUAACAAGUCUAAAACAUAAACUGGUGAUAGUGAUCUAAGUGAAUUUAGUGAUGUUAAAAGAUGACUUGACAAUAGGACGUGAAAAAUAAUGAUAAUGAAAGACAAUAGGAAUGAUAAUAGCGAUGAAAAGGACGGGAACAAUUAGAGGAGAGCAAGAUGAGUAGGAAAGCGGAUAAGCGAUAAUAGUUAUAAAGUUUGACGAUAAUAAUAACAACCGGCAUCGAGAGAAUAAAAUCUUGAAUUAUAAUGAAGUCUUAGUGAGGAAAGUUUCUGAUGUCAAAAGUACUGAUAGAAUGAGAUAAUAACUUUAAAUUAGGAUUAAGUUAAGAUUAGGAGAAUAGUCGAUGUAUAGAUGACGACGAAUGUGAGAACAAGGUAAUAAGAUUAUAAAGUCGUAUUAAAUGAGAAGAAUAAUUACGAAAGAGUUAAUGACGAUGGUGGGGAAGAACCUAGUUGGAUAGAGAGGAGACAUUAUAUGUAAUGAUAACGAAUUAGAAUACAUCUUGAGACUAAGAAUGAGUAAUAGGUUAUGCUAUCAGAAGUAAAGUAUAUAGAGAGCCUAUAAUAGAUGAAGGGAUAGAGUAUGUUGGUAAGAUGAAUAAUAUAAUAAAAUAAAAUAGAGAGAUUUUGAUGUAGAAAUGACUCACGCGUAAGGGUUGGAUUAAUCAAGGGAAUAAGUGGUGAUAUAAAUAGUUGAUAGACAGUAAUGAUGAUGAAUCCUAUAAUUAUGACAAAGAGUGUCGAUGAUUAAUAUUAAAUAUAUAUAUAUAUAUAUAUAUAUAUAUAUAUAUAUAUAUAUAUAUAGGUGCCCCCUAACAUGGACCUCCAAAAAAAGGUCCACCAAUGAACCUCCUUAUAUGACCUGCUACAACAGGUCAUCAUAAUUAAAAAAAUAAAAUAAAAUAAUCAAUUUUCAUUAAAUAAAAAAGCUAUACUGAACCCACACUUUUCAUCUUUCUUCUCAGAAAAUUCCUUUCCCUCUUCUGUAGUUUCUUUUCAUCCAUUCUUCUCCUCUAUUUUUCAUCAAUUGCCAAUUAUGAAUCUUAAACUUCUCAAACAAAAAUUCUAAAUCUUCAAAACUUAAACCCCAAAUCCAUACUUUACAUGAACCUUUUUUCCAGUUUUCUUUCCACAUCACGUUGAAACUUUCUCACCAUCUCACUCCUUGGAUUCAAGUGAAACUUCUUCCUUCUUUUAAUCAAACUGCUUAUUCCUUUUUCCUUUUCAUAUCAAGAUCGUGAUUGACUUGUCUUGGUGAGGGAUAAUUUGAACUCAACAGAUCUGUGGCAGUGAGUAAGCGCAAAUCCACAAAGGGGUUUUAUCAAAAUUGGAUUUUUAUAUAUGUAAGUGUCUGCCUAUUUCAUUUGAAUGUAUAAUAUCUUCCAUUUUUGUAACUUUGUUCUGAUAAGAUGUCGUGAAAAUUUCUGAUUGCAGACUUUUAAUUUGUUGUGAUGGCUAACAGUAACGAUGAACAAAUUCUGAGUAGCAGUGAAAAUACCUCACAGGUAUCAUGCCGUUCUUUGUAAUUUUAUAUUCUAUUUUUGGCUAAUUUAUGGCAUUUAGAAUUUGUAGAGCCAUUUGUAAUAUAGUGUAUGUAUAUAUUUUGUUUGCAUCAGUUUAUGGAGUUUGGAGAUAUAGAAAGUGAUAUGAAAGUUGGAUUUGGAUUUGCUAUUGAAGGAAUGGAAGAUAUAGGGAAAAUUGAUUUUAAAAAAUUAAAUGCAAGUGAUGUGAUGAAGUUUCAUUUUCCAAAUAUUGCAGUGGCUUAUACAUUUUAUAAUUGGUAUGCUCGAAUGAAUGGUUUUUCUGCUCGUAGAAGCAAAGUAAGGAGAAACAAAAACAACGAGAUUAUACAACAAAUAUUUGUUUGCUACAGACAAGGUUUUAGAGAAAAAAAGCUUGAGAACAAUAAAAUCCGUAAGCGUGAGGCAAGAGCUGACACUAGGUGCGGAUGUGACCAAAAUGCAUACAAAACAAGGUUGAAGAACAAGUCUGUUGAGGCUUGGCGUACAAAAAGAUAUGCAUAGACCUUCAACAAGGACACUACAUUUUGAGCGGAUAGGCUUUACUUCCGCUAAACAACUCUUCAAUGUUUAAGUUCUCUAUUUUGAUGUAACAACUUUUUAAAUUAUCGUUUGUCCAAUGUUGACUUUUUUUGAGCUAAUAUUUUGUGAGUACUUAGUUACUCUACAAAGUGUCAUUUGUCCUGUGUUGACAUCUUUGUUCUAAUGUUUAGUUAGUACCCUGUUAUUCUAAGAAAUGGAAUGAACUAUCCUACUGCUGGAUAUGUAAUGUUACUACUAUCAUAUAUUAAGCUUUAAGUUUAUUGAAGUAUCUGAUUUGUGUACAAUGUUUGCAAAACUACUAAAACAAAAUACAACAAUCACUACAAAGGAGAUACCUGACACCAUUUUCUACCUUUACAUGGGAUGAAUCAUGAUCACACACUUUAGCACGCCAGUUGAGAUUCUUCUUAAAUGACCAUUUUCCAAUAACUCAUUGUUGUAAAAUGCCGUAAUCACACACAAUACAGCCAUCUGUUAUGCCAUAACAAAAAAAAAAAGUGAUACAUUUAUAGUAAAUAUCUGAUUCAAGCCAACAAAAUUUAAUGAAGCUAUAAUUGAAAAAAAAAUUGUAGCAUACAAUAAGGCUUACCAAAUAAACAACCACCAUGCUACGAAUACAAUAGAUGCAACUACUUGCAAUUCAAAGAAUUUCCUUACAAACAAACAACCUUAUGCCAUCAACAGUCACACCCGAAACAAAAAUAAAACACUAACUCUGCAAUUAUACCAAAUUCAAAGAACUAACAAGAAGUGUGAUUAACCAAACAUUGAACAAUUGAAUAUUUCAAGUCUUUGACUAGACAACUUAAAACAACACGACACGCCUAAUUCCACAAAUAAACACCUUUUUUUUUUAGAAAAAGAAAGGGACCUUACUUGAAGAAUUACAUAAUGGGAAUGUAAGAGUGAUUUACCUAUUUACUCAGAAGGAGAAAAAACAAGUAGCAUUUUAUAAAAAUACAAGUAACCAAUUUAUUCAACCAUUUCUCUUUCCAGAAGCAGACAUGCUUCACUGAGGUUGUCAGUGCCCAUGAUGAUGUUGAACUUCUUCCUCCUCCACAUGGUAUCAUCACGUCACCCUCCUAAACCCUAUUUCCCCAAUUCAAUUUAGUUUAGUUCAUCUAUUCUUCUGACACAAAUAAACACCUCAGUUAACACUAAUUUGAAGUAUUUGAAUACUAACAUAUCCAAAUGCUGACAUCAACCAGUAAACAUGAAAUUAACCUAAAAAGAAGAAAGAAUCAUAAGAAUCCAAGGAUUAGAAUGAAUAAUUUGAUAACAGCAAAACAACUAGGAAUCCACAACAGCAAAAUUGAAAUCGAUUAACAGCUAUGAAGCAAGAAAGGAAACUGCAAUCGAUUAACAGUUAUGGAUUUGGGGUUUAAGUUUUGAAGAUUUAGAAUUUUUGUUUGAGAAGUUUAAGAUUCAUAAUUGACAAUUGAUGAAAAAUAGAGGAGAAGAAUGGAUGAAAAGAAACUACAGAAGAGGGAAAGGAAUUUUCUGAGAAGAGAGAUGAAAAGUAUGGGUUCAAUAUAGCUUUGAAAAUUGAUUAUUUUUUAUUUUUUUUAAUUAUGAUGACCUGUUGUAGCAGGUCAUAUAAGGAGGUUCAUUGGUGGACCUUUUUUUUGGGGGUCCAUGUUAGGGGGCACCAUAUAUAUAUAUAUAUAAUAAAUAAACAAGAUGAGAUUGAAGUUGAUUAAUUUAUGAUGAAUAUGAGGAUGAUAAUGUUUAUAUUUUAGUGAUGAUGAUGAGGAUGACGAUAACUAUAUCAUUAUGAUGAUGAGAGUGAUAAUGCUUAUAUUCGAUGAUGAUGAUGGGAGUGAUGUAUAUAAUGAUGGUGAGAGUGAUAUAUAUAUAUAUAUAUAUAUAUAGAUAUAUAUAUAUAUAUGCAAUGAUGAAGAUAGUGAUAUAUGAUCAUGAUGAGUAUGUUAAUGAUUUGUGUGCUUGCAUUAGAGUCGUGCAUUUUAGUGAGAGUCUUGCAUUAAUAUGUGAAUUAUUUGAAUAUGUGUAUACUUGUGUUACUUGUAGAAUUUAUUUAUAUGCAUUCAUAUAGAUUCUAAGACUGAUGGAGUGCAUGACUGAUGGAGAAGUCCAGUAACAUAUCUCUGGCAAACUAUGAUGAGAAAAGUCCAUUAACAACUCUGGCAAAAUGAUGAGUAGGAGUGGUACCACAAUCAUAUAGGUCGUUAGGAGAGUACAUAUGCAUAUAUAUGAUGAUUUUGUAUUGGGUGUUUGAGUGUGAAUAUGAUGUGCUGCUGUGAUAUGUGAUCUGAAGAGAUUAUACAUAGUAACUGCUGAGAGAGAUGAGAUAGUGGAGACUAUAUUCCUUUUAUAUUUAUUUAAUGUGCAUGCUUUUCCUAAUAAUAUGUUAUGGCUGGAUUUCUCACCCCUUUCUUGUUGUUGUAUUUAUGGUGUCUGUACCCCAUCUGUACCCGUGGGGUACAGAUACUUAGGACGAAGAGAUCUAGUUGCGGGACGCCUAGCAGGAUACGACGGAAAUUGUCUUCCGUCAAUUUUAUUUUAGCAAUGAUUAGAUAUGUAGUUGAAUAUGAGCUCUGAUAUGUAACACCAUGGGUUGGGGUUAACGUUUAAAUUAAUUUGAUUUUGAGUUUGAAUCUUGAAACUAAUGUUAUUUCAAUUUAUGAUCUUGAAUGAAAAUGAUAAGAUUUAUUAAUGAGAAUAGUGAAAUAUUUCCGCUGCUCAAAUUAUUCAUUUGCAAGAAAAUUAUAUUAUUUUUGUGAUAUAAAGUUGAGUUGUGCAACAUCCUUAUUAUUAAAUAUAUUAUUAUUAUUUGAUAUUUAUCGACGAAAUUAGGGUGUUACAAGCGGCCCCACUUGACACUCAUAUAGGCGAUUUCAUCAAGUGUAUGCUGCAAGUCAUACACCACCCAUAAGGGAUAUGAUAAUCGUUGAAAGCAUUAUAUUGUAGCUUAUCCUCUCAAUAUUGCAGUGUCUAGCACUUACUCAAAUACACCAUAGGAAGGAGACAAGAUUAAAUUUAGCGCUAGCAGAACUAACAUGUGACUUGUUCUUACCACAUUGAACCUUCCUCAUGGGAUCUCCAAUCACAAAGGUUGAGUUCCUAUAACAUGUCAAUUUCGAUUGGCUUAAGUCUCAAUCCCCUCGAUGCUCACAAUUUUAUUUCAUCUCAGAGGCUUUAUUAGUACGUACUUCACACACAUUGAUGAAGACAAAAAAUUCUUUCAUCAUAGAAUAUUGACUAAGACAUCUCUCAGUCAAUUAAUCUCAUAUUUACCAAGUUAACAAUUAUGAACUUGUUCUUCAUAAUAAAAGCAUACAUGUCUGCUUAGUUGUCUACUAAGCGACAACAUAUUUAUCAAUAAGAUAAAUUUACUUAUAAAUUUAUUCUCAUUGGAUUCAUAUCUAAUUAACGUCAUUGUAUAUUAUUUGAAUACAAUGGUUUAUCCACUUUUAAACAAUAUCUCAUAUAUUGUGAAACUGACUUUUUGAUAUAUGUCAUCGGGUCUACUUAGAUAAAUUCUAAGUGACAAACCCCCCACAUUGAGAAAAUAUAACUAUGUGUGGAUUUAUUAUACAAGUCUACUUUAAUAAUUUUUGAAGUGACAACAAUUCCACGAUGAAAAAUAAAUCCGAUAAAUAUAUAUUUUCUCAUAAACACAUUUUAUUAAACAUCGUAAAUCUUAUAGCAGUCAAGCUAAUUUCUGCAGAAAAUAUUCCACAUGAGAUUAGUGUGUUGUUUCUGCCACCAAACACUAACUAUUACUAAGACACAAUUUCUAACUGUUAAAACAAAAUGUUUAGCAGAAAGAAGUCCUAGUGAAAAUGUGAUGUGUUCAUUUUAAUGAGGCUAAUGAUAUAAGCUAAUCGUAGCUUAUUAAGUAAGAAGACAAAUCCAUAUAUAAUCCAUAGAUCACUAUAUCCAGUAACAUGCAAUUCAAAACAUCAGAAGGCCACAUCAUAUUUUCAUGAGUUAAAAAACCGUCACAAUAAUAUUUAUGCAAUUAACUCAUCAAAUAAACAAUGCAAUAGCUUUCCAAUAAUAAGAAAAUCUGUACUCACAUUGAGAAUAAAGUCACCUAAGUUUUCUUUAUUCAAAUACCAUAAUCAUAAGGGUUACUCAAAAUAUAAUAUCAACCAAUCCACUUAUUAAGAGCAUUAAAUCUCAACACUGAAUGAACUCAAAAGCAGAAAACUAACUCCAACAAACUUGGCCACAAAAUUCAUUAUUCAUUCUGGUGCAACACAAUACGUAAAGGAAAUAGUUUGCAUACUCUAGUUUAACAUAUUAAUCAAAUAGUCUAAAUACAAUAAGUCCAAAAUCACAUAUACUCGAAUCAAUUCAUUUCUUUGAUCAGAUUAAACAAUAACAAAGAAAAUUCAUUUCUUAAAUUACUUGGUAUAAGAAAAACUUCAUACAUUUUUCAUAACAGGAACAAUGAUUGAAGAUAGUGGUUAGAUAAGAAAUUUUCCUUAAUCCAAAUGAUUGACAUACUUUGACCAUACUUUUCUACUAAUAUGCAUUGGUACGUGUGUCAGAGUCAACUAGAUCGUCUAUUGAGGGACAGAGAGAGUAUAUAAGAUGUAUCCGGUUCAUUUAGUUCCACAAAAAGGAACUUAGCUAAUAUCAUCAUUUCUUGAAAAAGACUUGUCAUCUCUUCCAAAUGGUUAAAUAAAAAUAAGAGCCAUUUUGAUUAAACAAAUAUUAGCAAAGUGAAAACAUAGAGGAACAACAUGGUCCAAACAUAGAGCUUUAGCCUACCAUCCUUUCUCCUAAAUUCACUUCAUCACUAAAAUAUCACCUUAUAUGAUAGGAAAAUUAUCAUACAUCAAAGUAGAAGAAAAACAAAUCAAUAUCCAUAUCACUUAUAAAAGAAAUAAAUUUAAAAAUCUCUGCAACAAUUCUACAAUUGAAAGUAUAAUAAAUUCAAAUUCAUAUACUGCUGGCACAUCAAACUAUUAUAUAAGCAUAGUGGAAUUGAAAACGCAUAUGAUUCAAAAUUAAAUGGAAAAACCUGAUUAUCAAAUCCCUUUUGUACAUAACGCCAUAUCACGGAGAACAUGGCUAGUAAUAGGAAUUGAUUCCUUUUUUUUUUCCUCUUUUCCUUUUCACAGCUUCACAGAUGAAUGGUUGUGCCAUUUUCAAACUAAGCAAUUCCUAUUUGCUUUUCUCCUUUUCUCAUCUCCAGGGAUGGCCAAUUGCACCUCGCUCUCAUCAAAUUUUCGCUUCACUCAAUACUGAAUCCUGAUUCAGAAAUUACCACAAAAAAUUAAUUUGUUAAAAUCCUCAAGAUUGUUGUAUAUUUAUUGACAUGUGAAUUAUCUCAAAAUAACAAUCAGCAUAAACAUAUAAGCAUUAGAAUCAAUAAGCAAAAAGAGAGAUCAUUAGACUUAUCUAUCUUUAAAAUUGCGGUGAUUUGAGGCUGGUAAUGAAGAGCAAACAAACAUCAAACCAUGAAUAGCAAUAACCUGCAAAAUAGUAAACUGUUAUCUAACCUGAGGCGUGACAUAGUUCCCUAAUAUGAAUCAUAUCAAAGGUGACAGAACAACUCGAAUAUAUACACAGGAGAUGUAACAGGAAGAAAAAUUGGGAAGAAAGAAAGAGUUUAAGCGUGCUUGAUGUAUUGUCCAUCGUAAAAAAACACUACGUUAUUAUCAUAUAUACUCCCAAGAUAUUUUGUGAGAACAUGCCCACUAAUUCCACAAAAAUAGCCACAUGAAUAAAACUAUUUUUUCAGUUGAGAAAAUUAAGGUAAGGCUUAAUUGACUAAGUAAGCAUGAUGAGUCAUAGUUAGCUUAUUUAGGAAAUGAUAAAAAAAACAUGUGGAAACAUCAUUUUUGGAUGGAUUUAGUUAGAAUUAACUUUUGAAAUAAAAUAAAACUCUAAAAUUACAACAAGUUGGGCGAUUGGAGCAUAUUUUUCCAUAAGGCUACAAAGUUGAUAAAUUCUUUGAAGUUAUUGUUGGCCAAAUAAUUGGAGGUUUUUGAAGGGUUGGAAAUCAUUUAAGGUAUGUGUGUUCUAUUGAUAACCUUGAAUAUACUUAUACAGAAGAAUGAAGAAAACGUAUAUAUCAUUUAGAAAAGUCAUUUUUGGACAUAGUUUCCUGUCAGCUAUGUUAAUCAUCUCAUUUUUUUUUUUACAUAGUUGGGUGUUUCAUUCAUGUGAUAUUGGAAAGAAAAAAAAAGACGUGCAAUUAUAUGUCAAAUGAGGUUGUUAGAUUUUUAGUCCAACAACACAUAAAAACUAGUUGUGAACUCUUUUUAAUUGAGAUUUGGAGGUAUCUGGGAACUUAAUCACAUUGUCACAAAUUCCUGUUUUGUUGCCAGAUUUAAAACUAGCAUGAGCUCCUUAUUUAUUAAGUAAUUUAGUUUAUAUUCCCAUAGUUUUUCUUUCAAAAAAAUCAUGUUAACAUGUAACUAUGGGAAUAUAAACUAAAUUACUAAAUUACUAUUUGAAAGGCCAUUUGAAAGGAGAAUAUAAGGUAACAUGAUUUAUUGUCAUAUCCAUAUAAAAAAAUUACUAUUUCUAUUUAAACAAUCAAUGAUUUAUUACUGUUUUGUUUUACCUUUUAACUAUUGAGAAAGUUAGUAUUAAUUAAAUGUAUAGUUAACUGCCGAGAGCAUUGAUUCUCUCAGACUCAGAGGGAGGUUACCUCUGUGUACAUUAGGAUAUUCAUCCUUAUGUACAUUCUUGGUUCUGUUGUCAUUGGCUUACCAAAAUUAUUUUAUUUAUAAUAUUAUUAUUUCAUAUGAAUAUAUAAUUGUACAUUUCUAUUUUUUGAACAAAAUUAAAGGACAAACAAAUUUUGAACAUUGUCAUUGAUAUAUUUAUAAUUCAACUCAAGUGGAGUUUGAUACAAAUAUCCUUUCUCAAAAUAAACAAGUCUCAAAUAUAAACAAGUCUCCAAACAUAAAGUUACACAAACCAUUUCCACAUCUUUAGCUAUUCGACAAAAUAACAAGUUUACAAAACAUAAAAAUGACUACACAAAUGAUGUCACUAAAAUGAGGACUCUCAUGCUCCACGUGCAUUGCUGUCAUCUGAUGAUCUAGUUAUGUCAUUGGGUGUUGGAGAUUCACUUCCUACGUUUGAUGCCUGCAAAAAAUAUUAUAAUUGUUAACUCAUAUUAAGCAAGAUAUUAUUGCUAAUUCAACAACCUAAGCAAAGUAAAAGUUAUUAUCAAAGUAAAAGCUUGAAAGACAGUAUUAUCCAAAAUCAAUUUUUCAUAAUUGAUGAAUAUAAAGAUUGAUGAUGAAAAACUUAGAGAAAUGCGUUUCAUUGAUAAAAAAAAAAAAUUAGCAGUAUUGAUUUCAUUAGCCCAAUAGCAUUCAGAUCCAAUUUGUAAAAUAUCAUCAAAUAAUAUCAAUGCUUCCAAAGCUUAAUGUAGCGCCGGUACUACUCCAGAAAGACACAUGCACAAAAUCAUAAAUGCAUUGAGUAGUUGUUAUACCUGUUGUGUAUCAUUGGGAAAUAAGGCAGCAGCUAACUCUGGGGGCAGUGAACCACCUUCCUUCGCUUUAACGUAGCCAACAAGUGCUGUAAUUUGAGCCUCCAUAGUUGCAAGUUUUUGGUUCACCAAGGCAGAAUUGCCGCUUGAAGUACUACCACGAAAAGAGCCAAACUCCAUACCGCUAAGUCGUGUGGUAUUAUGCUUAAAAGCAAUAGUAGGAACCACUCUCAUGCCUAUUGUAACACCACGUUUUCCCAACAUAAAAUUUUCUUAACAUAAAUCAGAGUAAACAUCACAAAACAGGAUAUCACAUUUCACAUAAUGUAAAAACAGUUAAAUAACAAUUUAACUUCCAACAAAAUAUCUCAAUCAUCGCAGCAGAGUUAAUUCAAAAAUCAUAAAUUGUCUUGGCACGUAGGCCCCAUCAUAAUAUCUCAAAUAAAUUCAGUUAAACAACAUAAAACAUCAUAAAUGAACACGUAAAGGAAAUGAAGCAUGCAUAUCAUAAAUCACAUGCCGUUACGUAUUAGAGCAACCUAGGACUCAGUGAGGCAAGACCACUCACGACAGCACAACAGCAACCUACGCUCGAUCACCUGUAAGUUACUCAUACGAAGAGCAACGUUUCCAAGCAGAAGGGGUGAGAUUUCACAAAACAAUAAUAUUAAUCAAUAUAAUUCAACAAUCAUAAUUAACAUCAUAAAUCUUCAACAUAAGCAUCUUAAAACAUCAUAGCAUCAUAACAUCAUUCAUCAUUGACUCGACUAUGCGACUAUGCAACUUAGACCUCUUAUAUGCAUGUGGUACCAAUGCAGGGCAUGAGCCUUAACAUUAUUUUAGUAUUAAUAUACUUUCAGGGCAUGAGCCCCCAUCGUUAUUUUGAGCUAAUGCUCCAUCGUGGUGAGUACAAAGCUCCAGGGCAUAAGCUCCCAACAAAUGUAUGCUAAUGCAUGGACUCAAUCUCUUAAAACAUCUUAAUCAUCAUCUCAUAUAUAUCCAAUAAUUUGGAGGUUCAACAUCAUCUUAUUCAUCUUACAAUGACUCAUGCAACUUGGUUAAGUAACAAUAGCAGCAUAGGCAGUUCACAACAACAUUAUGACAUCAUAUAGGGAUAUCAAAUAAAAGCAAGCAUCAACUCAAUCAUUCAUUCAUUAACAUCUCAAGUAAUGAAAUUAAUGAUUAAAUCACAUUAUAAUCAACUUAACAGUUCAUAACAGCUUCACAUAUUGGAGUUAACAUCUUAUAUAGAUCACAUUACUACCUAAGGGUGUAUCCCUAAUCAAUUCAAGCAACACAUAUCACGACAUUCUCACUUGCACUCAGUUCUGGAAGUGCUCGCGAGGCGAAAGCAUCUGCUCGCCAUGGCGAGUACAAGCCAGAAUCCCAACUAAAGUUGUUCUAAGCUAAACCAGGUUCAAUCUUAUUCUAAGUUAUCAUUUAAUCUUUAAUAAACAUCUUUAUGCACUCAAAAGCAUCUAAGGUUCAACUCAAAGGUCAAAAUUACAGAAUUCAACAUGCUCUCUGGUCAUGCUCGAUAUGGCGAGUAAGGUUGUUCGUUGUGGCGAGCUACGACUUGUACCUCGCGAGGCGAAGGGAAAUGGCUCGUGUGGCGAGCGAUGAACUUCAUCUCUCGCGAGGCGAGGAUCAUCGUUCGCGAGGGCAAGCGAUGAAUAUAGGCUUGGGCAGAAUGCAGUUUUUCACGAAAAUCCAACAUCUCACAUGGUUUAAAGCCUAAAUUCGAUUCCAGAAUUCAUCCUAUUCAUAAUCUAAGGUCAAAGGACAGUUUCUACAUCAAUCUAACCAAUUUUCACCGUUUAAUCAUCAAUUCUAUUAAUUUGACCUAAUUCUCGACUUCUCCAAUUCAAUCCUAUUUCUUGCUAAUUAAAACCGGAUGGAUUACAUGAUUAAUAAAAUUGCAGAGUUAGUCUCACCCUUACCUUAAUGUGAAGAAAUCGCAGCCUCUAGGUCUCUCUUGCUCUUCUCUUGGCUUUUUCCUCCUUUUUCCAAUGUUUGAUCGUACGUACAAAGUGUUUUCUAAAACUAGGUUUUCUCUUUUUAUAUCUCUUCCUAAUAUCUUAUCUUAUCUCACUUUCUCCCCUAAAACUCUCUAAAAUCUCAAAACAGCCAUUAACUAAAUAUUUUAUUUUAUUUUCAAAUCUUAUUUUAUUAAACAACAAAAUAAGUCUCAUAACCUCAUAAAAAUCUUCACAUCACAUAACUCAUCUAAAAUCAUCCAAAUCAUCUAAAUCGUCAUAAAUCAUCAUCAAUCACAUAAAUCACACAUAUAUUAUAUAAAUAUAAUAUAACUCGUCUAGACUCGAUUAAAUAAUUAAUUAAUCAAAAGUGGGCGUUACAACUCUCCCCAACUAACAAGAUUUUCGUCCUCGAAAAUUUACCUCAUGCAAACAACUCUGGAUAAGACUCUAGCAUCUUACUCUCAAGCUCCCACGUCAAGCUUUCACCAGUCGCUCCUCCCAAACGACUCUCACAAGGGGUAUUUCCUUGCCCCUCAACGUCUUCACUUUCCGAUCAUCAAUCCUCACUGGUAAAGUCUCUACCGUAAGGUUGUCUCUAACUUGCACAUCAUCACUCUGGAUCACAUGAGAUGGAUCUAGAACAUACUUCCGAAGUUGCGACACAUGGAAAACGACAUGCAAAUUCGAAAGAUGCGGUGGUAAUCCCACUCAAUACGCCACCGUCCCAACUCUUUCUGAUAUCUGAUACGGACCAAUAAAUCUCGGAGUCAACUUCUUUGACUUCAAAGCACAUCCAACACCAGUCACAGGAGUGACUCUCAAAAACACGUAGUCUUCUUCUUGAAAUUCAAGAUCUUUCCUACGCUUAUCAUGAUAACUCUUUUGUCGACUCUGCGACGCUUUCAUCUUCUCUUGAAUCAUCUUAACUUUCUCAGUAGUCUGCUGAACAAUCUCUGGUCCUAAGACCACUCUUUCUCCUGACUCAAACCAACACAACGGAGUUCUGCAUCUCCGACCAUAUAAAGCCUCAAAAGGUGCCAUUCCAAUACUAGAAUGAUAACUAUUAUUGUAUGUGAACUCAAUCAAUGAAAGAUGAAUAUCCCAAGUUCCUCCUUGCUCAAGAACACAAACUCUCAACAAAUCCUCUAGCGACUGAAUCGUCCUUUCCGACCGACCAUCUGUCUGCGGAUGAUACGCCGAACUCAAUCUCAACUUAGAACCCAAAGCCUCUUGCAAACUUUUCCAAAAUCUAGAAGUAAAUCUUGGAUCUCUAUCUGAUACAAUGCUCGAAGGAACACCAUGCAGCUUCACAAUUUCCUUAAUAUAAAUAUCUGGCAACUGGGCAACAUGAAAACUAAUAUUAAUCGGUAGAAAAUGAGCUGACUUCGUCAAUCUAUCAACAAUCACCCAAAUCACGUCAUUCCCUUUAGGAGUAUUCGGCAAACUCGUCACAAAAUCCAUGGAUAUACUAUCCCAUUUCCACUCUGGCACAUCUAAAGAUACCAUCAUACCAGCAGGUUUCUGAUGUUCAAUCUUCGACUUCUGACAAACUAAACAAGAAUACACAAACUGUGCCACAUCGCGUUUCAACCAGACCACCAGAAUAUCUUCUUUAGAUCAUGAUACAUCUUCGUAGCUCCCGGGUGAAUACUCAAGCUACUUCUAUGACUCUCUUCAAGAAUCAUUUUCUUCAUCUCUUUAUCAUCAGGAAUACAAAUUCGGGCUCGGAAUCUCAACACACCAUGGUCAUCGACCUUAAAGCCACCAUCUUCAGUCUGAUUACUAGCAACCAACAAGUAUACAAACUUGACAUCAACUUUAUGUGCCUCUUUAAUACUUUUUAGCAAUUCACUAUCAAUCUUCAGCAUUCCCAGUGUCACACUCUGAGGUGAUCACUCACAAACUAAGCUCAUAUCUCUAAACUGUUCAAGCAAUUCGAACUCUAUAACCAACAUAGUGGACAUAUGCAAUGUUGAUGAGAUAAAACCGCAAGUGCACGGUCUUACCGAAGUAGUAUAAAAGAGUAUCGUUCCGACAGGGAGUAGUUCAAUUUAAUUAACCUUUAGAGAUGAUUAGAAGAGAGAAGAGAAUUGUAAGUUGGGGUUUUUAAACGGUUAAAAAGCAAUAUAAUAAAAGAGCCUUGGGAUCGUUGGUUUCAUCUAAAUAACAAGUCCUUCUCAAACCAAAACCAUAAACUUAUAAUGUUAUGUUAGACCUAAUUUCUCAAGACAGUUUCUCUUAAGUUCCUCUAGCAACCAAGCCUAUUUCGCUGACUUGAUUACUAUUGGAUUUUGGUUCCUCUAACAACCAAGCCUAUUUCGCUGACUUGAUUGUUAUUAGUUCCCUUGAAGAUCGAAACUAUAUGCCUCAAAGAUUGCAAAGCCUAUUUCGCUGACUUUGCAAUCCUUGUCUGAAUUCACUUGUUCGAAUAUCAAAGCUCCACUUUCGUUUUAUGAAUUGAUAUUUGGAAUAAUGGACGAACAAUUAUCAAACCCUCCACUUUCGUUUCCACAGUUUGAUAAUGGUUAAUCCAUGUUAAGACGGUGAAUUCAGAUAAGAAAUUAGGGUUACAUAAGAUUAAGGUUUAGGGCUUGGUUUGAUUAGGAUUAUGUCAUUUAGACUUAUCCAACAAUCCCAAGACAAGAAGAAGUCUACUCACUCAUGUUCAUCGUAGACAUGGGGGAGAAGAGAGAAAGCAUGAAAGUAAAAGACAAUAAAAUAAAGGAAAAGAACUUUAUUUAGAAAAGCAAAUGUCACUUAUUGUAUUCCAAGUAAAGAUGAAUAUUAGUGAUGGCUAGCUACUCUAUUUAUAGUACACAAUUGACUUAAAAUCUAAGCAAGUAUAUUCCUAGAAUAUUCCUCGGUAGAUUGUGCGCCAAAAUAGAAUAGCUUGGAGUCAAAGCAAAAGCAGCCAAAAGGCAUCUGGAGGGUGGCACGGCCGUGCCAAGGCUAGCACGGGCCGUGCCAGGCUUCUGACUUGUGGGAGAUAUAUUUUGUUUCCCAAUCUUCAUGUUUUUGUGUCCAAUCUGCUCCAAAUCCCUUUCUUUUGCUCCAAGACUCUCUCCAUCCAAUAUUCUUCCCUGAAAUAUAAUAAAUUGCAUUUUAAAGUAAACUAUCCUAAAAAGGAAAUAAUACUAAUAUAAAAUUAUAUAAAAUCUAAUUAAAACUAAACUAAAAAGCAUAUUAAAAUAACAUAUAAUUGACUCAUCAAACUCCCCCAUACUUGAAUCUUUGCUUGUCCUCAAGCAAAAGGCAUAAACAUAGUAGCAUCAACAGUUAAAUCAAAUGACAAUUAAUUAAAGCACAUGUCUCCUCAAGGGCUUAAAUCCCAAAAUGUACACUAAUCACAAACUCAAGCAUUUCUUGAAAUCUUUAUUCUACCCAACAAUCAAGUUUCAAGUGAGUGUGUGUGUGAAGUCCAACCCUUUUCUUGCUCCUGUAUAAGAUAGGUAUAAUGAGGAAACAUGGUUUAAUCCUAGCACUAAACUAACCAAGAAAAAUUCCUUCUACAAUUCGCAUAAGAGAGAUGGGAGUUUUUGAGAAUCUUUGUUCUUUUGCCAUAUGCACAUUUUAAGUUCUUUAUUUAAGGAACAACAUUUUCACGUAGGAGGUCGGAGGGCCUACCCCCUUCCCCAAUCUAGAUUCAAUGAUAUUCCUUAAAACAUCGUCUUCACGUAGGAAGUCGGAGGGCCUACCUCCUUCCCCAAUCUAGAUUCAGUGAUGAGAUCUUGGAAUUAUUUGGCUUUUUGGCUUUUUAUGAUCUCCCUUAUACUCACUUAUACUACUGGCGCUUUGAGAAUUUUUAAAGGUUAAUGCACCACUAAGAUUAGAAUGUGUUUCCUUAAAAUACCUAUUCAUACAUUCACUCAAGGGAAGCAACUUUGUGUUUUUCUCAUUGGAGAAUUUUAUUCACUUUAAAACAAGAUGUGGUUAUAUUAAGAAGACUUAAAACACAAGAGUUUGCUUUCAUGUACAAGAAUAAACAAAAUAAGAGGAGACAAUGAAGAUUUUUUUUGUCAUGAUUUUUUUUUAAUAAAAAUUAGCUACUUAACUAUGCCUUUUACAAUAAAACAAAACAAAAGAAUAAAGUUCAAGGGAGUUUGGAAACACUACGACUAUGACACUUUAUUAGGCUCCCCCCACACUUAGGAGAAGCAUUGUCCUCAAUGAUUCAAGAUAAAAGAAAAAUAAAAGAGAAGGAGAGGUAGAAGAGUGAGAUAGAGAUGAAAGAGAUAAGGUGAAAAAGAGGAAGGGGAAAGCUCACAUUUUUAUAUAGGUCCAUAGGGAGGGCCCUGAAGGUGUAAGUGUUGCAUCAUGUUCCAAAGCAUUUGGUUAUUUUCUUCGGAUAUGCGGUUGCCCCGUAGGACAUCAUUUCUUAGCCCAGAUAAUUCAACACCUUGCCUUUGUUGCUCGGUGCUUAUCCUUUGUACCUCGGUUUGCAUCCAUGCCCAUCUUUCAUUGUUGUCGUUAUGGUCAUGGGGCUCUUCUUCAUGGUGCAUGUGGGCACCCUCUUCGUCACCUUGAUUAUGUUCUUCAUGUACCUGUAAUCCAUCACCAACAUACAAGAAAUUUUCCUCCACCUCGGGGUUAGUCCGAGAUGGGUUAGGAAGUAAAAAUAAAAGUGGUAUGCGAAGUUGAAGUGCAUAAGUCAUGGGUGGGUGAAUCUUAAUAAAGUUCAUAGCAACAAGGGUUUCAAUGUUAAGUCUAUUGUUGCCCUCAAUUGGAUUUAUCCCAUCUUCCUCACUUACUCCAAACUUUCUAGCGAUGAAGGUAAUGAUACCACCGACUACUAUCUCGGCUCUAUUGUCAGGUCUAGCUCCUAUGGAGGAAAGGUAGUCAAGUAGGUAGAAACAAGUAUUAACGGGAUUGUCAUUAAGCAUUGCCCAAAGCAUAAAAAGUUCAUCCUUCCUAGUUGUUCCUACUUCUUUUCCACCCCAAAUGGUACAAGCCAUAAAUCUCUGGAGGUAUCUAAGCACGGGGUUGUGAAUGUUACUAGCCUUGUUGGUGCGGGGGUUAUAUUGCCUUAGCCUGGUAAUGCGUUUCCAAAAGAGAGCGGGGUUAUAGUGUUCCGACUUUAAAUUUGGAUUCCAAGAGUCAUGGAUGAACCCUGCAUUUGCAAAGUCCAUCUCUAAGCAGAAAUUUUCAAGAGACAUCUCAUAAUCCAUAUUCAAAAGUCGGAAGGAGACUCUAUGAUCGGGGUUGUCAAAAUUCACCUUAUCCUUCAUAAAUUCAAUAAAACUUAAGAAUUCAUAAGUGAAAUUUUCGAAGCCCUUCAUAGGUCUAAGCAUAUCAACCCAUCCUAAUUUACCUAGUAAGCUGAACACACUAUCCCUUAGUCCUAGCACACUCAAAGUAUAAGGAUCUAAAUAUCGACAAGGAUGCAAAGGUUUAGAGAUAAGAAUUUUAUACCUGUCCCUUUGCUUGGUGUCCUUGAAGAUUAUGCCGUGAUUCUUGGCUCGAGUCUUCUUCUUUUGUUAUGGUCCUCCGGAAGAGCUUGCUCCACCUUUCCUAGAUGCCAUUUAUCCGGAACCUUGGUUGACCGUUUGUGUUUUGGGUGAGGGUUGGUUUUUGGGAAAUGUUUUUAGUAGAAAAGGUUGGUUGGGUGAUGGGGGUUGUGGUUUGAGUAAGUGUUAGGAGUUGGAUUGGGUGAAUUGAUGAAGAAUUUGUGGGUUUUUAGGUAGGUUUAUGGGGGCUACGAAUUUGGUGAUAUUUGGGAGGGAUGGAGGAAAGGUGUUUUUGAUUGAUGGGUUAUGAUUGAAAUGGGUUUGUGAUUGAUUGGGUGAAGAAAUUAUGUGAAAUGGUGAAGUUUUGGGGUAGAUAUGGAAGCUUUGAAUAUCUAUGGUUAUGGAGGUUUUUGAGAGAAGUGUAAAUGGAGAGAGAGUUUGUGGUGGAGAAUGAGGGAAGAAGAAGAGGAAAAGGUGGGUUUAUCCUUACCUGUAGUCGGGCACGGCCGUGCCAACCUUAGCACGGGCCGUGCCAACUUUCUGGUUUUUUGGCUGGUUUUGGAUAGGCGUGGUCUGGCACGGGCGUGCCAGUGUGAGCACGGGCCGUGCCAAGGUUCUGGACAGUGGCCUCAAAAUUUUUUCUCGUUUUGCUUGAAUCACCUUCGGACAAUUACCUACAAAAUAACUUAAAAACAAAAACGAAAGCAGUUAAAUGCGUGGGUUGCCUCCCACGAAGCGCUUCUUUAUAGUCAUUAGCUUGACGUUAAAAGAAAGUGUCCUUAGAAUGGAUCAAAGAGGUCAUGUUGUGUAGAUGGCGCUAAUAAGCGUUCUUUCACUUUAUGACCUUUAAUCAUAUUACAAGAGUAGAGGGCGGGACCUUUCAUAUAAUUCUCCAACUCAAAUCCUAUCAACUCAUCACUCACUUGAAAAACAAUCCUACCGUUUUGAACAGGUUGGGUACACGAUAAAUUGAGUAGUGCAGGCUUGAUUUCGAAGUUAUUACCCGCAACCGUUGGGUACACGAUAAUAGCUUGUGGCUCUUCCGUUGAAGGAGUAGCAUACUCUUUGAGAGUACGUUCAUCCAUAGCGGUAUUAUUUUGUGCCUCUCUCUUUUUCUUAUGCAAAAACCUUUCGAUCUCAGGAAUAAAUUCUCCGAGACUUUUACUUCUUCGCAUAAGAAACCGAGAACCCAAGAAGUUAGUGGUAAAAACAAAAGAAAGAAAAAUAGAAGAGAAGAGGAAGAGAAAAGAGAAGAGAGUUCUAAUCACUAAGGAAGAGUUAAUUAAAUUAGUUUACUCCCCGGCAGCGGCGCCAAAAACUUGAUGAGAUAAAACCGCAAGUGCACGGUCUUACCGAAGUAGUAUAAAAGAGUAUCGUUCCGACAGGGAGUAGUUUAAUUUAGUUAACCUUUAGAGAUGAUUAGAAGAGAGAAGAAUUUNNNNNNNNNNNNNNNNNNNNNNNNNNNNNNNNNNNNNNNNNNNNNNNNNNNNNNNNNNNNNNNNNNNNNNNNNNNNNNNNNNNNNNNNNNNNNNNNNNNNACCAGCAUUGCUGACUUGAUUACUAUUAGAUUUGGUUCCUCUAACACCAAGCCAUUUCGCUGACUUGAUUGUUAUUAGUUCCUUGAAGAUCCAAACUAUAUGUCUCAAAGAUUGCAAAGCCUUUUUCGCUGACUUUGCAAUCCUUGUCUGAAUUCACUUGUUCGAAUAUCAAAGCUCCACUUUCGUUUUAUGAAUUGAUAUUUGGAAUAAUGGAUAAACAAUUAUCAAACCCUCCACUUUCGUUUCCACAGUUUGAUAAUGGUUGAUCCAUGUUAAGACGGUGAAUUCAGAUAAGAAAUUAGGGUUACAUAAGAUUAAGGCUUAGAGCUUGGCUUGAUUAGGAUUAUGUCAUUUAGACUUAUCCAACAAUCCCAAGACAAGAGAAGUCUACUCACUAAUGUUCAUCGUAGACAAGGGGAAGAAGAGAGAAAGCAUAAAAGUAAAUAACAAUAAAGUAAAAUGAACUUUUAUUAGAAAGACAAUUGUCACAUAUUGUAUUCCAAGAAAAGAUGAAUAUUUGUGAUGGCUAGCUACUCUAUUUAUAGUACACAAUUGACUUAAAAUCUAAGCAAGUAUAUUCCAAGAAUAUUCCUCGGUAGAUUGUGCGCCAAAAUAGAAUAGCUUAGAGCCCAAGCAAAAGCAGCAAAAGGUCUUCUGGAGGGUGGCACGGCCGUGCCAAGGCUAGCACGGGCCGUGCCAGGCUUCUGACUUGUGGGAGACAUAUUUUGUUUCCCAAUCUUCAUAUUUUCGUGUCCAAUUUACUCCAAAUCCCUUUCUUUUGCUCCAAGACUCAAUCCAUCCAAUAUUCUUCCCUGAAAUAUAAUAAAUUGCAAUUUAAAGUAAACUAUCCUAAAAAGGAAAUAAUACUAAUAUAAAAUUAUAUAAAAUCUAAAUAAAACUAAACUAAAAAGCAUAUUAAAAUAGCAUAUAAAUGACUCAUCAAAAGGUAUUUGCUUGGACUGGUACGCAGACUACUAAUGAGGACCGUCUUAUCAGAGGUGCUUGUUUCUUUAAUAGUACUCCUUUAAUUGCUAUCAUAGACACUGGUGCUACUCAUUGUUUCAUUGCUUUAGAAAGUGCAUAUAAGUUGGGUUUGAUUGUAUCUGAUAUUAAAGGAGAAAUGGUUGUUGAAACUCCAGCUAAGGGUUCAGUAACUACUUCUCUUGUUUGCUUGAGGUGUCCAAUAUCUAUGUUUGGUAGAGAUUUUGAGGUAGACUUAGUUUGUUUGCCGUUGACGGGAAUGGAUGUUAUUUUUGGGAUGAAUUGGUUAGAGUAUAACCGAGUUCAUAUCAACUGUUUUAGUAAGACGGUACAUUUUUCUUCUGCUGAAGAAGAGGGUGAAGUUGAGUUCUUGAAUACAAAGCAAAUGAAGCAGUUAGAACGUGAUGGAAUUUUGAUGUAUUCUCGCAUAUCUGUCGUUAGAAAACCAAGCUGUGAUUGACAAGUUACCAGUGGUGAAUGAGUUUCCGGAGGUGUUUCCUGAUGAGAGUCCUGAUGUGCCACCAGAGAGGGAGGUGGAGUUUUCGAUUGACCUUGUUCCAGGAAUAAAGCUGGUGUCGAUGGCACCGUACCGUAUGUCAGCUUCUGAGUUAGCUGAAUUGAAGAAACAGUUGAAGACUUGCUUGAUAAGAAGUUUGUUCGACCCAGUGUUUCACCGUGGGGAGUGCCUGUGUUGUUGGUGAAGAAAAAGGACAGUAGCAUGAGGUUGUGCAUUGACUAUCGUCAAUUGAACAAAGUUACAAUUAAGAAUAGGCAUCCACUUCCGAGGAUUGAUGACUUGAUGGACCACCUAGUGGGUGCAAAGGUUUUUAGUAAGAUUGAUUUGAGGUCAGGUUACCAUCAAAUUAAGGUGAAUGAUGAAGAUAUGCAGAAGACGGCCUUUAGGACACGAUACGGUCAUUACGAAUACAAAGUGAUGCCUUUCGGUGUUACUAACGCGCCCGGUGUGUUCAUGGAGUAUAUGAAUCGAAUUUUUCAUGCCUUUCUGGAUAAAUUCCUGGUGGUAUUUAUUGAUGAUAUUCUGAUUUAUUCUAAGACUUAAGAAGAGCAUGCAGAACAUCUGAGAAUUGUGUUGCAAGUAUUGAAAGAAAAGAAGUUGUAUGCCAAAUUGUCAAAAUGUGAGUUUUGGCUAAGUGAAGUAAGUUUCCUUGGUCAUAUUAUUUCUGGUGAUGGUAUAUCAGUUGAUCCAUCAAAAGUUGAUGCAGUAUCGCAAUGGGAUACUCCGAAGUCGGUGACUGAAAUCAGAAGCUUCUUGGGUUUGGCUGGUUAUUACCGCAGAUUUAUAGAGGGAUUUUCAAAGUUAGCAUUGCCGUUGACUCAGUUAACCUGUAAGGGUAAGUCCUUUGUGUGGAAUGCUCAGUGUGAUAGUAGUUUCAAUGAAUUAAAGAGAAGAUUGACAACUGCUCCUAUUUUGAUCUUGCCUAAGUCGGAAGAGCCAUUCGUUGUUUACUGUGAUGCGUCUAAGCUGGGUUUAGGAGGUGUUUUGAUGCAAGAUGGUAAGGUGGUAGCGUAUGCUUCUAGGCAGCUGAGGGUACAUAAAAAGAAUUAUCCCACUCACGAUUUGGAGUUAGCUGCGGUGGUUUUUGUUUUGAAAAUUUGGAGGCACUACUUGUAUGGUUCCAGAUUUGAAGUGUUCAGUGAUCACAAGAGCUUGAAAUAUUUAUUUGAUCAGAAGGAAUUGAAUAUGAGGCAGAGGAGAUGGCUUGAGUUGUUAAAAGAUUAUGAUUUUGGUUUGAAUUACCAUCCUAGCAAAGCUAACGUAGUUGCUGAUGCAUUGAGCAGGAAGACACUGCAUAUGUCUGCUAUGAUGAUAAAAGAAUUUGAUUUGCUGGAACAGUUUAGAGACAUGAGUUUGGUAUGUGAGUUGUCGCCUCAAAGCAUACAGUUGGGCAUGCUAAAGAUUAACAGUGAUUUUCUGAGUAGUAUCCGAGAAGCACAACAGGUGGAUGUCAAGUUGGUUGAUUUGAUUGUUACUGGUAAUGGCACUGAAGAUAGUGACUUCAAGGUUGAUGAUCAGGGUGUGUUGAGAUUCAGAGGUAGAAUUUGUAUUCCUGACAAUGAAGAAUUGAAAAAGUUAAUUUUAGAGGAAAGUCACAAGAGUAGCUUGAGUAUUCAUCCGGGAGCUACGAAGAUGUACCAUGAUUUGAAAAAGCUGUUUUGGUGGUACGGGUUGAAUUGAGAUGUCGCUCAUUUUGUGUAUGCAUGCUUGACUUGCCAGAAGUCUAAGGUUGAGCAUCAAAAGCCUGCAGGAUUGUUGACGCCGUUGGAUGUACCAGAGUGGAAAUGGGAUAGCAUUUCUAUGGAUUUCGUGACAAGCUUACCAAACACUCCGAGAGGACAUGAUUCUAUUUGGGUUGUGGUUGAUAGAUUGUCAAAGUCGGCACAUUUUAUUCCUAUCAACAUCAGUUAUCCAGUAGCUCAGUUGGCUGAGAUUUAUAUUCAUAAUGUUGUGAAGCUACAUGGAGUUCCUUCAAGUAUUGUGUCGGAUAGGGAUCCGAUGUUCACCUCUAGGUUCUGGAAGAGUUUGCAGGACGCUUUGGGUUCGAAGUUGAGAUUGAGUUCGGCUUAUCAUUCUCAGACAGAUGGUCAGUCGGAGAGGAUGAUCCAAUCAUUGGAGGAUCUGUUGAGAGUGUGUGUGCUUGAACAAGGUGGAGCUUGGGAUAAUCACCUACCAUUGAUAGAGUUCACCUACAACAACAGUUACCAUUCGAGUAUAGGUAUCGCACCGUUCGAAGCUUUGUAUGGUCGAAGGUGCAGGACUCCGUUGUGCUGGUUUGAGUCCGGAGAGAGUGUUAUGGUUGGGGACCGGAUUUGGUUCAUGAGACUACAGAAAAGGUCAAGAUGAUCAGAGAGAAGAUGAAAGCGUCGCAGAGUCGACAGAGUUACCAUGACAAGCGGAGAAAGGCCCUUGAGUUUCGGGAUGGUGAUCAUGUAUUUUUAAGAGUUACUCCGAUGACGGGUGUAGGACGUGCUUUGAAAUCGAGGAAGUUGACUCCGAAGUUCAUUGGUCCGUAUCAGAUUUCAGAGAGGAUUGGGACGGUGGCAUAUAGAGUUGGCUUGCCACCACAUCUAUCGAACUUGCAUGAUGUGUUUCACGUGUCACAGCUUCGGAAAUAUGUAGCAGAUCCUUCGCAUGUUAUUCCGAGAGAUGGUGUGCAGGUUAGGGACAAUCUCACUGUUGAAACUUUACCGGUGAGGAUUGAUGAUCGGAAAGUGAAGGCAUUGAGGGGCAAGGAAAUACCCCUUGUGAGAGUCGUUUGGGGCGGAGCGACUGGUGAAAGCUUGACUUGGGAGCUGGAAAGUAAGAUGCGGGAUUCAUAUCCUGAGUUGUUUGUUUGAGGUAAGAUUUCGAGGACGAAAUUCUGUGAUUUGGGGAGAGUUGUAACGCUCUAAUCGUUAUUUAAUUAUUUUUGAUUAUGUGGAGUCAUAUAUAUGAUUUUUGGUGAUUUAUUUGGUGUGUUUAUUUCAUUAUAUAGUUUAUUUCAAUAAUAAUUAGAAUAAGUGAUAAUUAGUAUUAUUUUGGAAUGUGGGGAGUUAAGUAUUAUUUAAUAGAAUUAAGGGGGAGUAAUUAAAAUUAAGGGAGUUACAUUUUGGGAGUUAAGAAACGAAAAACCAGAGAAACGUUUUUACGUCAAACAGACAAGUUUUGGGAGAAAAGCCAAGAGCAGGGGAGAGGAGCUUAGGAACCGAUUUCUGCUGUGUUAUUUCUGCAAUUCUAAGGUAAGGGUGAGGUUUAC
Molecule: long non-coding RNA, 51498 nt
Filed under: Medicago truncatula (barrel medic)
Lineage: Eukaryota; Viridiplantae; Streptophyta; Magnoliopsida; Fabales; Fabaceae
Description: long non-coding RNA (MTRU_LNC000510)
Rfam family: MIR2617 microRNA precursor family (bases 1778-1869)
Source: RNAcentral